Molecule: long non-coding RNA, 52637 nt
Filed under: Populus trichocarpa (black cottonwood)
Lineage: Eukaryota; Viridiplantae; Streptophyta; Magnoliopsida; Malpighiales; Salicaceae
Description: long non-coding RNA (PTRI_LNC002324)
Source: RNAcentral
UUCUGAAUUCUCUCUCCAAUUCUCGAACUUUCAUUAUUUCUUUGAAACCUCGCAAAAUUUCACCUGUCUUUAUCUCCAUUUUUUAUAUUCUCCUCUUUUCUUCUUACGCUGCCAUUUUGUGGCAACAAAUAAACCGGAUCGUGAGUUCCCUGGUGCAUGACGAGCGCAUCGGAGUUGUUUUAUCAAAGAAGGUCGCGAGUGAGCCGAGCCAAUACCGAUCUAGGGCUCGAACCUUCUGUUUCUGACCGUAUUUUUUACCAAAAUUACAAUCGCCGCCAUCACAAUAAUCAUAAUCACCGUCAUGAUUUAGACGGCUGUGAUCCUCUUCGCAGAUCUCCUCACGUGCGGCACCCCUGCCAGCGCUUUCUCUCUGUAAGAAACUUGCAUAUAUUGGAAUUUGAGUGUUCAAAAACUAUAUCUUUAAUUGUUUUAUUGCUUUAAUUACUUGAUUUAAAAUUGUAAUAUUUCUUUAGCGGUCGUAAAUAAUGCAAUAAGCAAAAAAAUUUACUAUAGAAAGCUACAAAAAAUUGGUAAAUUUGUUUUAAGUGGAUAUUUAAGUUGAAGUUUCUUUUGAUUUAUAUUCACUGGAGAAUAAAUUUACUGACGGUCGUCUGGAUUCAUCGAAAUCUGUUAUGGAAAUCACAUAAAUUUUAGGCCAAAUUAGGAAAUCAAUUGUAUCAUUGGCUUUAAUUGAGGAAUGAGGUGAUUUUAAUAUAAAUAAGAAUGUAAGAUUCCGUGAAACAGCUCGCGUAUAGAUUGUAAUUACUAGCUAGCUAGCUAGACAGCAUCUUUUGAAAGAUUUGAGUUUUUGGUAGUUUCAUGGUUUUCCAACGUUUUAUGCUUAACUCGUAAUCUGCCGAAUGAGAAGCAUUCUGCUAGAUAUCUUAAUUAUGAACUGAUAAAGGUGUGUAUUUUGUAUGUUGUUGCGCUGCACCUCGACAUUGGGCCAUUCCAUUUGGCUAACGUGUGUGUAUUCUUAUCUAGUCUCAAGUAUGCGUACCUAAUAUUAAAAUCAAUAGGAUUGAUAAAGGUGUGUGAUUUGUAUGUGUACUCUUUCGCUAAUAUUUCCUGCUGUUUGUUUUGUUUGCUCAAUUGUGUCUGGUUUCUCAAUUGAACUUUAUGUUCUUCACUUGUUUGGUGAACCAUAGGGCAUUUUUUUUUUUUUUUGCAUUAUUGCAAUUGUUAUUUACCAACUCUCAGUUUUGCAAUGCCACUUUAUGAUUUUUUUUAUGCCCCGCUCAUUGUUGUAUUGCAUUUGGCUUGCACAGGAACGUGCCUCAUCUCGACUUGAUCAAGGUACCAGUCAAUUUGUACCAAGCAACAAUAACAGCACUGAAACUCUAAGCAGCACAAGCCGGCCAAGAGUGACUGUAAAUGACAGACUUCCUGGAGCUGUGGUACUUGCAAGGGCAAGGCUUCUCGAAAGGUUAAGAGGAGUUUCACUUUCUGGAAACAGGUGAUUUAGAUACCCUGUUGAAUUCCCUAUAUAAUGCACAGAGUUAUGCAUACAUCGUGGUACUUGGACCCAUCACAAAUUGGCAGCCAUCAAUAUUAAUGAUGGUAACCUUUGGCAUUUGUCACUUGUUCAUGCUAUUCCAUCAUAUGUCUGUGCUGUUAAAAUCUUGAUAGUUAUGGCUGCUGCUUUUGGUCCCAUUUCUUAUGCCCCCCACCACUAUCAGUACUGCUUGUCUUUUAUUGCUUGGAGAUGCCUGCACUAUGUCUCAUAUGUUACCAUAAGAAUGUAGAUCUAGGCCAUAUUCAGGAGAAACACAAUGACACAGUUUUCUUUGCUAAUGCAAGCAUGUUUUGUUAUCUCUGAAGCAUUGGUCAUGGAAUUAACUUAAGGUACGGACCUGUUUAUUUUGGCUUCAUUCAGGCAAAGUGGCCGGGCUUUUCUUGGCAUCUAUAACAGGGAGUAUACGCUUGGCGAUGAAUUGAGGGUUGUUGAUGCAGGGGACUGGGGAACUGACAUUUCUACAGGGUUGUUUGCUGGAGGUUCCUCUUCCGAUGACUCAACCCUUCAAACAGAAAGACUUCACACCGUGCAGGAAUCACACAAGAAGAAACCACCUGGUCUAACCCAAGAUGCCCUUCACUGUUUGCAAUCAGAGGUAUUUAGCAGCGUAGAGAAGGGUAUCGAAGGGGGUGUAUCUCAGGUGUCAUGGGAUUGUAGUAUAUGUCUCGAGAGUUUCACAGAAGGAGAUGAACUUAUUCGGUUGCCAUGUGAGCAUAGAUUCCACUCUGCUUGCUUGGAUCCUUGGGUCCGGACAUGCGGUGACUGCCCAUAUUGUCGAAGAGAUGUAGUUGUAACUAAUGACUGAGAAUGAACAUGAAGUCCUUCUGAGAAGGUUUUAUGUUUCUUCCUCUGCGGCUUCUCUUACAUUGUAGACUCCUAGUUCAAAGUUUAUAUCUUCACCGAAUUUCAUUAAUGUUGUUUCGUCGUUGUUUGGUUUCGUGUGGUGUUCAUGUCAUACUUGGUUUCGUUGUAAAACACGAAAUUAUCUCAGCCUAGAGUCCUUAAUCCCCACUUAAUAUUUUCUGUUUGGAGUUUCGUUUAUACCAGAUUCUGAGUAAUACUCCUUGAUUUCAAAUUUCAAUUCGCUGUCAUUUUUAUUUUUCCAAUACUCUCAUGCAUGGUUUUUCCUCCUUGUCUUGAAGGGAGAUAUAAUGAGGAGGAUACACAAGACCUGUCGUGAAGACUUUUCAUUUUAUUACAAAACGAAGAAAAAAGGGCAAAAAGUGAUCUAUUAUCAUCAUUCAUUUGGAAUCGGUCUAUUUCAUUAUCAUGAAUUCGACUGCAAUAACUUUGUGAAGUCAUUUGAAUUUCUGGACCAAUCAAAUUUGGCCCAGCUGAAUUGGAUAUAAUUCAACAUGUUACUUUUAGCAAAGGGGAAUGGAAGAGAGACGUUACUGAAGCUUUGCCAUGUUUUAUUAUUAAUUUGAGGACACAGCAUAGCAUAUGAUGUGGACAACGAAGAUGUUCGUUUCUUCUUCACUUUCUAGCCUCCUUCAAUGAAAGAUUAUAAUAUAAUUACUUAAUUAGCCAUGUUUCAUUUUUAUAAUUUCCCAGAAAGGUAAUCUAAUGGCUAAUGCUUUUUCAUCUUUCUGUUACAUAGUUCAAGGCCCAAUUGUACUGAUUUGCUAAACCUAAUUUUUAGGCCAUUGCUUACCAAAAGCUAAUGCUGGCCUUGAUAAUUUUAGACUUUUUGGCAAUUCCAAGUCCUUUGUCCCCAUGCAAAUGCUCAAUAUAAAAGCACCUUAAUGCCUUUCAUCUUCAACCGCCACUACUAGGCAGCACCACUGUGGCUUGAUACCUUCUUUGGCAUUGAAAUGGUUUGCUCUUCCUUCCUCCUUGACCCACAACAGAUCCACCUCACCCCACCUACCAACAUAACCACCGCCAUCGCCACCUCCAAAGAAAAAUCAGUAAUGUCUUUGAAACCACCAACUCAAUCCCCUGUAUGUACCCUCAGAUUGACAUUCCCUCUCUCACCCCUUGUCAAUACAUCUUCCUCAAAAUCACUCCCAAAAUAACCCCUGAAAAUUUAACUCUGUCGUUAGAACGUGCCUGAAAUGACGAUCCAAAUACCACUCUCAAGCUCAUUUUCCAUCUUGGGUUGGCACCAUCAAUGCCAAUCCUAAUAAAGAUGCAUUCUUCACUUCACUUCUUUGGUUUCAUAAGAAAGAUCUUUAAUUUCUCGAGUUACGUAUUCUUGCAGCCCUUGCUAGUUCUGGGUACCUAAAAGAUCUUCCUGACUUGAAGUUAGAGAUGGAACUUAAAGGUUACAACAGUGAAGACCCCUUGUUUCAAGAAUCCAGUGUGAAAAGUGAGAGCCGGGGUGGUGAGAUUGAGAUGGACAAAGAGAAGAGGAGAGUUACGAGGAGGGAGAAAGAUAUGUCUCGCGCUAGAAUUGCAGUUCUUUUUCACAAUAAUGUUUCAUGAUAUCAAUACUUGCACAAUCGCAUUGCAGAUGUUUUUGCAGAAUUGCUCAAGUCUGAUAUUGAAUUCUUGAAGUCGGCGAGACUGAAAGGAUUAGUAUGGCCUCAAGAUGGUGUUCUUCUAUCAAUAGUUUCUAUGAUAGGAGAGCUCUAAUUUGUGAAAGCUUUGCAAAGGCAGUUUUCACUUUUGAAUCAGGUCCUGUGUAAAUUGGUAUUAAAAAUGCUUACUAUGUUUAUAGGGUUCGAAAUAGCUUGAUGAAAGAAGUUCUUGUUCCUCUUCGUAAAUCCUUUUGAGUGCAAGAAGGUUUGAUUCAAUCACACAGAGGGCUGUUGUGUCAACCAUUGUGAAGCAAAUGUAUUCAGGCUUUUCUACUGAGGAUUGCAAUGAAAUGUUUUAAGGUUUAUGUUGAUAUUGCAGCAAGAACAUUGAGGAAAAGGGAAUUGUUGCUUCUUCAUGAAAUUGCAGCUUCUUUGAGGGAUUGAAGUGGUGGAAAAGUUUUGGACUCUCAACGGGAGAAACUUGUUUACUAUGUACAAAAGAAAGGAAGCUUGAGAAACUGUUUGGCGAUUUAUGGGAUAUCAAGAGACAUGACUAAAACACAGGAGGACAUUUGUGUAUCACUGGAGCUAUUAAUUUCAGAGCUCAGUGAAGAACCCUGUAAGGGAAAGAUUGUGAAUAAUACUGAUUAUCCUACGCUUUGCAAGGUUGAAGGACGCAAUCUUCAAUCCAACUUUGAGUUCAUGAGGCAAUUGAACUAUAGUCGAAAUGUAAAUAUUCAGAUGGUGUUUGAUCAAUAUUGGGAUUUUCUGUUCCAGAAAAUACAAGCCAAGAGAAGAUGCCGCAAAAGAUAUUUGUUUUGGUGAAUUCGGAUUUCAACAGGCAUCUGCUAACUAUUGGGGCGUGUGGGGGAGUUACAAGAGAAAGAAAGGGUAUACAGAAUUGCCAGAGCUUGUGUUUUGGAAUCUGAGAGGUGAUUUGAGUUUUCCAGCAAGGCACUCCAACGGGGUGACAAUGGUUAAUGGAUAUUCAAAUGAUUCACUGGCAGCAUUGUUGGAGAGAGAUGUUGUUCCACUGCUAGAACAUUUGGUGAGAUUAGUGCACCCUGAUCAUGUUGUGAAAUCAGCCGUUUCUGGAGAGUUGUAUGAGAAUUUACUUGUAUAUAAUUGAUGUAUCAGAAAACACUCCUAAUAAGAAACUUGGCUUUCAGUUGCAUCUGGAAAUUGCUUUCAGUUGUAUGUCCACGAUUUUUCUGCCAAUCUCUUGAUCAAGUUCCACUUCGCAAAUAUACAAGUUGUUAAUGUAUAGUACAAUCCUACAGUAAAAUUCAUGACGAGAACAAGUUCAUGAAAUAAAUUUGGUUUUCUUAGAAUCUCCAAUCAAGUUCUUCACGCUAAAAAAUAAAGAGAGAAAAGGUCCUUAAAACUUAUUGUCAGUGCAUCUGAUGCUUUGAUCCUUAACCGGUAAUUGGAUAUGACAUCAGAUGCUUUAAUGAUAGUUUUUCCUUACGUUUUUUGAAUAAAUAUUUAGAGGCCAUUGCGUGUUUAAUGGGAUCGUAAGAGUCUUGAGCUUGCUUUCUCAAAAAUACAUGACAAUUCUUUGCCUAUUUAAGAGAUGAGCUGAAACCUAAACAUAGAAGCUUUGCGUAAGCCAGAGUUUGCUUGUAUUUUCAAGAACUGGGGUCUUCUCAGAUCUUGAUUUGCUUGUUAGAUCAAAUGGAUUGGUGCUCUGACACCAUGUUUUCUUUCUUGUGUCUUUUGUAAAUAUCAUAGCAGGCAAAUACUUGUGUAGCAGGUAUGCUCCACCUAAAUGUUUGAUUUAUACGAAAUUCUUCCAUUAUCCAAAAUUAAACAAAGUAGACAUAUGAACAUAGAGUGAGAGUUCGUGCAUUUUCUCAUGCUCAGGCCUGCCAUUUUCUCACGUUUAAGAGUGAUUAUAUAUGACCAAGCAUAUAGAGAACUCUUAAGAAAACAAAGAAACUGAAAAGAAUUAAUGAACAAAUCUGAAUGCCUCAACAUUUUUCCAAGCAAGCUGGUGUUUGUCUAGUAUGGUUUUGAAGUUUUAGGUACCCAACUGAUCAUUUUAUGUUUGUUCAUGGUCAUAGAUCCAAACUGAAGAAUUUUGGAAUUUGAUUUGAUUUUAUGUAAGAAUAAAACGCAGCGGAGUUCGUUGAACAGGAAUUCUUUACUUUCAGCAAAGAGGAAGGGGGAGGGAGAAAUUGAUUCCUUGACAUGUUGUUUUACUAUUAGCUUGACAACACAGGUCUGAAGAAUCAAAUGUGCUUUCGUCUCCCCUUUCCCAUAUCAAGAUAUAUGAAUUCUGAAAAGCAAUUCGGUUGAAACUUUCAAAGAGGCCAAGAUUUACAGUAUCUGAACUUGGCAUGGCCAUUCCCUAGAAAGUUUGGACGUGAUGUUACAGAGUUCAAGGGCCAGUGGGAAUUUAUUUCCCCUACGAAUAAACCUAUUUUACAGGUUUUCAGUUACUGCUGAAUAUAAGUGCCGACCCAAGUAUAGUAGCAACAUUUUAGGCGUUUAGCAACUGCAAGUCCUUGGUCCCCAAGUAACGCUCUGCCUAUAAAAAAAAUCUCGUUGCCUUUCUUCUUGAUUCUUCUCCCGCCUCAUAGCACCAGUAGGCACCACCACAAACAAACAAUUUUCAAGACUCUAAAACCCUCCCAUGGCUCCUUCUCCUUCCUUUCUCAUUGGCCCACCAGAGAGUUACCGCCGUGCCCCACUCACCACCACCGCAAGAACUCAAAAACCACAAACAAAAGCUCCUGUAUGGUACCCUCAUAUGGAGAUUCCUACCUUAACCCCUUGCCAGUUUCUCUUCUUCAAAAUCACUCCCAGUACAACCCCUGAAACUCUAUUUCGCUGGUUAGAACGUGCCUGGAAUGAAGACCCAAAUACCACUCUCAAGCUCAUUUGCUAUCUUGGAUUAGCCACCAUAAAGGGAAAACCUAAUAAAUACGCGUUCUUUAACUCGGUUCUUUGGCUUCAUAAGUACCAACAUUAUGUUCUUGCAUCAAAUCUUGCAGCCUUGGCAAGUUUUGGGUACUUGAAAGAUCUUCCGGAAAUCUUGUAUCGAAUCUUGGUGUUUGAGAUGGUAAAUGGAGGUUACUGUCAAAGCAGAAUGUUGGAUCAAGGAGAGAACGUGAAAAUGGAUCAGAUCGAGAAUGAAGAGAUGGAGAAGGAGGAAACGAGGGUUCUGAGGAGGGAGAAAGACAUUUUUUGGGCUGAAUGUGCAGUCUUUUUUCACCGAAAUGUUUCAGCAUAUCAUUUCUUGCACAAUUGUGUUGCAGAUAUUUAUGCAGAUUUGCUGAAGUCUGAUAUCGAAUUCUUGAACUUGGGUGAGGUUGAAAAGAUUAGUUUGGCUGCAAAAUGGUGUCCUUCUGUCAAUAGUUUCUAUGAUAGGAGAACUCAGAUCUGUGAAAGCAUUGCAAAGGCACUUUUCCCUUUCGAUUCAGACCCCGGGUACUUUGUUAUUGAAAAUGCUCACUAUGUUUAUAGGGUUCGAAAUCGCUUGAUGAAAGAAGUUCUUGUUCCUCUUCGUAAAGCCCUUGUGAGGAGAACAAGGUGUGAUCCAAUCACACACAGGCCUUUUAGACCUAUUGUGUCAACCGCUGUGAAGAAAAUGUAUUCAGGGCUUUGGACUGCGGAUUACAAUAAAAGGUUUAACGUUUACGUGGAGAUUGCAGCAAGAACAACGAAGAAAAAAAAGUUGUUGCUUCCUCAUGAAAUUGUAGCUUCUUUGAGGGAUAAAAGUAGCAGCAUGGUUGCAGAGUCUAAAUGGGAAAGCCUUGUUAACUACUUGAAAAAGAAAGGGAGCUUGAAGAAUUGUUUGGCAGUUUAUGGGAUAUCAAGGGACAUGAACAAAAUGCAGAAGGAUAUUUGUGUAUCGAUGGGGUUGUUAGUUUCAGAACUCAGUGAAGAACCAUGGAAGGGCAAGAUUGUAUCUUUUGGUGAUGAUCCUAAGAUUCGCAUGAUUCAUGGAAGUAAUCUUCCAGCCAAGAUUGAGUUCAUGAGGCAACUGGACUAUAGUAAGGUUGAAAAUAUUAAGAGGGUGUUUGACCAAAUAUUCGAAUUUGCUCUUGCGGAGAAGAUUAGCCAAGAGAAUAUGCCACAAAAGAUAUUUGUUUUCACUGACAUGGGAUUACAGCAGGUAUCUGCUUGCUUGUGGGGCAUGUGGGGGAGUUAUAGGAGAAGGAGAGGGUGUACAACAUUGCCAGAGAUUGUAUUUUGGAAUCUAAGAGGUGAAACUGGUGUCUUGAAUUUCCCAGCAAGGAACUUGAAUAGGGUGACGAUGGUUAAUGGGUUUUCGAAUGAUUCAUUGGCAGCUUUGCUGGAGAGAGAUGUGGUUCCAACUCUAGAAGAUUUGAUGAGGUCAAUUGGGCCAGAUAAUGUUUUGAAAUCAACCAUUUCUGGAGAUUUGUAUGACAAUUUACUCGUAUAAGAAUGAUGUAUAUUGACAUACAAACUGAAUAAAACUUGGUUUACAGUGGCUCCUAGAAAUCGCCUUCAACUGCUUGUCAACUUCUGAAAAUUCACAUUCCAUGCAUAUCUCUAAAGCACAGGUUAAUUUGUUUUAAAAAUCCCUCUUGAAUAUAAUUUGCCUCGAAAAUUAUGAUAACCUGACUACAGAAUCCAUUAUAAGAGUGAUCAGAACAUGAUCAAAUCAAAACAGUUGGGUGUUCAAUUUAGUUUUUCACACUAAGAAGUAGAGGGUAAGAAAAAUUAGGCUUUCGAGGUUGUUGUCAAUUGAUUAGUGUAUGUAAUUCCAAUGCUUUGGCCAAGACAAUAGAUUUUUUUUGGGUAUUAAUCAGAGCUCUUGGUUUAAGAUCUUGCAAUAAAUAUGGGGCACAUUCAAAUUACCCCUCUUCUAAUUACAAACCAUUUCUAUAAGGCUGCGGUCUGCACACCUGAUAGAAAGAAGCAGGAGAGACCCAUUAAUGUGUCUGCAACUCGGCGCUACAAAACCGCUAGUAGUCUCUUACUCUCCGAAGUAUCUUUGGCAUGGUAUGUGAAACCAAUACCAAAGUUCACCUCUUUGUGCAUGGAGUUAACGAGGAUGAUCUCAAACGCCCGUUGCGUUGCUACGAAGAUGAAUCUGUCACACACUUGUUCAUUCAUUUCAAAUUUUCAUGGAGUGUUUGAAAGCGCUUGGUUAAAUUAUAGGGUAUCAUAACAAUUGGUGAAUGCCACAUUCUAUGCCUGGCCAAUUAACAAAGUGAGAUUGUGCCGAGAAUUGGUUCACGGGAAAUUUCUGAAGAAAACUCGGUUGAUGUUAUUCUUCGCAUUUGUAUGGUUCAUCUGGCUUCUUAGGAUCAAAAUGGUGUUCAGCGAGGAGAAUUCAGCAGUUCAGAAACUGUUUGAAAUCAUUUUCCUGUGGUUAGGCAUUUGAUUUAAAUCUGCAUUUUAUGGAUUUCCUUACUUGACUGAGGACCUCAUGCACUCAGCAACAGGUCUAAUUCUGUUAAUCGCGAAACUGUUUCUUCAUGGCCUUCCCCUAGUUGAAAAUGGAAUCUGGAUGGCUCGUCAAUCAGAAAACCAGUGUUAGCAGGUAUAGGUGGGUGACGUGGUGUGCUAAGAGAUUCUCAAUGCUGUGAUUUCAUCUCUGCUGCAGGUUAACUGGAAGCCUUGAAUUAAGCAAGGGAAGAACGAAGGGGAAAGAGGUUUGAGAAGGGAGAAGAAGGUUAUCACGUCCAGAACGUGUUUGAGAGAAAGAGAGAACAGGGAAUAGAGUUUGAGAAUUCUGUUGUAAAAUUUCCACACCUUUCUGUUACAAUGAUUAGGGAAUUUAAAGACAAUAUUGUAAAUGCCAGCGUGGCAUCACUACGUGGCUGUACCAGCUGGCCUACUAGAAUAUAAAAUGAAGCUGCACAAAAACGCAGCCGUUUGGUUCCAUUUAUUUAAAAAUCAAAAUCCUGUUUCACUUUCCCCUUUGCUCGUUUGUGCCUUCUUUCCUUCUGUUCGUGACAAUGCCCCGUCCAUGAAAUCAACCUUGUCCUCAAGGUGGAAUUGAGGGAAUCGCCACUCAAACUCCUCAGCAUCCUCCCAGGUUGCUUCUGUCAAAGGUAAGUUUUUCCAUAGAAUCAAAAACUGAGUUGAUGCUGUAUUUCCCUUUUUGAUCAUUCGUCUCUCAACAAUUUUCUGUGGUUGUAGCAGGGGUUGUGCAGAGACAAUGGGGAGAUCGGACUGCACCACAUGGUUGCCUACAUGCUUCUUUAAUUGGGAAACGUGAAAGACGGGGUGGAUCACGGCAGUAGCAGGUAAUUGUAGUUUAUAUGCCACUGUUCCAAUUUUCUUGAUGAUUGUGUAGGGGCCAUAAUACUUUGCUGAUAAUUUGUAAGAGGGUCGCCUGUGAACCGAUUUCUAUCGAUACGGUUGUAGUUUCAGAUAGACUAAGUCACCCUCAGAAAACAUCCUUUCACUUCUUUUCUUGUUGGCUUGCUGUGUCAUUCGGUUUUGUGCUUGCAAUAAAUUGCUCCUGAUGAGUUUGAACAUGUCUUCUCUUUGGGUUAAAUACUGGUCCACAGCCUCCACGGGUGAAUCCUUAGGCGUAUAGGGAAUGUGAACUGGAGGCCCCAUUCCAUAUAAGAUCUCGUAGGGUGUCUUCUUAGUAGAGGAGUGGUAGUUUGUAUUGUACCACCAUUCACAGGAGCUCAGCCAGCGUCCCCAUUGUGCAGGGAUGGUUCCUGUCAUGCAUCUUAGGUAGCCCUCGAUGCAUUUAUUGACCACUUCUGUCUGUCCAUCAGACUGUGGAUGAUAGGCUGUAGAGUAUUGCAAAUUGACCCCCUGCUGUUUGAAUAACUCCUUCCAAAACUGGCUGAGAAAAAUGCUGUCUCUGUCACUCACAAUUGUUGCUGGCAUCCUAUGCAAUUUAUACACAUUUUCCAUAAAGACCUUGGCUACUGUAAUGGCAGAGUAGGGGUGGGUGAGGGCCAUAAGAUGGGCAUACUUACUAAACCUGUCGACCACCACAAAAAUGACUUCCUUCCCUUCUGAUUUUGGCAGUCCCUCAAUAAAAUCCAUGCUAAUAUCUAUAAAAGGAGCAUGUGGUACUGGUAAUGGUUGCAGUAGACCUGGAGGCUUGACAUUUUCCCCCUUGUUCUGUUGACAAACUGGACAUUCCCUGACGUAUUGCCUCACCAGCUUUUGGAGUUUCUUCCAAUAGAACACCUGCCCUAAUUUUUUUGAAGUAACCGUAGCUCCUGAAUGCCCCCCUACUGCAGAGUCAUGAUAGAGUUUGAUAAUUUGAUGAUGUAAGUUCGGUGCUUGUCCCACUACCACCUUCCCCUUUCGAAUGAGAGUGUUAUUAACCCAUGAGUAGUUGGAGUGUGAGCUAGCAUCCUUGGUGAGGUCUGCUAUAAGCUGUCUCAGGUUGUGAUCAGUGUCCCAAGUCUUCUUAAUGUCUUCCAUGAGAGAGGUGGAAAUGGAUGAAAGGGUUAAUGCACCCAACUCAUUGUGAGAAAUUCUGGAGAGGGCGUCUGCAGCUAGAUUGUCUUUACCCCUUCUAUAUUCAAUUUCAUAAUCAAAACCCAAUAGCUUAGUUAGCCAUACCUGUUGGGAAACAUGUGUAGUCUUCUGGUCUAGCAGGAAUUUGAGGCUGGAGUGGUCUGUCCUGAUAAGAAACCUUCUGCCCCAUAAGUAGUGCUUCCAUUUUGUAACAGCAAAAACAAUGGCCAGCAACUCCCUCUCAUAAGUGGACAGGGCUAGCUGUCUAGGACCUAAGGCUUUGCUUACAAAUGCAAUGGGGUGUCCUUCUUGCAUCAGUACCCCCCCUAUACCCACUCCUGAAGCAUCUGUUUCUACUACAAAUGUUUUGUCAAAAUUAGGCAGGGCUAGCACAGGGGGUUGGGACAUUGCGGCUUGGAGCUGUUUGAAGGCCAAGGUGGCUGUGUUUGUCCAUUUAAAGGAGUCUUUUUGUAGUAGCUGAGUAAGGGGUCUGCAAAUAGUUCCAUAACCUUGCACAAACUUUCUAUAAUACCCUGUUAAGCCUAGGAAACUUCUAAGUUGUUUGAUGGUUGUAGGUAUGGGCCAUUGCAAGAUAGCAGUAACCUUGUGUGGGUCUGUUGCUACUCCCUCUUUGGUGAUUACAUGUCCCAAGUAUUCCAUCUGUCGUGUCCCAAACACACACUUACUUUCCUUGGCUACUAAUUGAUGGGUACAUAGCAAUUCAAAUACCAAUCUAAGGUGUUGUAAGUGGUCGGCCAUGGUUUUACUGUAAACCAAUAUAUCAUCAAAGAAAACUAAAAUAAACUUCCUUAAAUGAGCUCGAAAAAUAUCAUUCAUUAAACUUUGGAAGGUGGCCGGUGCAUUAGAUAAGCCAAAGGGCAUGACUAGGAACUCAUAGUGGCCAUUAUGUGUUCUAAAGGCUGUUUUAAAAACAUCUUCUGAGACCAUGCGAAUCUGAUGGUAACCUGCCCUUAGAUCAAUUUUCGAAAAGAUGGCAGCCCCUUCUAGUUCUUCUAGCAGUUCAUCUAUUAUAGGAAUAGGGUACUUAUCUUUGAUAGUGAUCUUGUUGAGGGCUCUAAAAUCAACACAAAAUCGCCAAGUCUGAUCCUUCUUUGUCACAAGCACCACUAGAGAGGCAAAGGGACUGUGGCUGGGCUGCACUAUGCCUGCCUCCAGCAUUCAGCCACNNNNNNNNNNNNNNNNNNNNNNNNNNNNNNNNNNNNNNNNNNNNNNNNNNNNNNNNNNNNNNNNNNNNNNNNNNNNNNNNNNNNNNNNNNNNNNNNNNNNCCAUGCCCAGCCUGUCAAAGAUCUCGAUGACAAGCAAAUGAUGUAGGGGAAUCAUGACACGAAUUGGAAAAACUGGCCCCUUUUACUAAUUGACGCAAGUUGGCGCUUAUCGUACAGUCCUUUAGGCGAUAAAACAGAUAAUUCCAUGCCAGGGAAGAUCUCAUGGUUUUUAAUGUGAGACCCUUGUGGGGCCCAACGAGAGUUGGCUGUUGUGGGAUCCAUCAUGAAGCCAGAAUUGCCUUUCCAUUGGAGGAUAAAAGCUAAGGCUGCAAGAGAAAGAGGGAGGAGAGUUAGGAGGAGGAUUAGUCUUGAGGUGAAGGAUUGAGUGGAUAUGGUGGUUGAGGUAGCGGUGGAGGAGCGGAGGGGAGCGUGGAGGUGGUGGCUGGGCAUGGUGGUUGAGAGAGUGAGAGAGAGAGAGAGAGAGAGGGAUGGAACGGUGGACUGCUGGUAGUUAAGUUACAGGGAAUUUAAUUUUAAUUUUUGGUGGGAGAGAUUCGAGUGUGUUCUUAAUCAUAUAUAUAUAUAUAUAUAGACUGCUAGUACUUAAGUCAUAGAAGAAUUUAAUUUUAAUUUUUGGUAUAUAUAAUGAACACACUCGAAUCUCUCCCACCAAAGAUUAAAAUUAAAUUCGUGUGUGUGUGUGUGUGUGUGUGUGUAUCUGUGUGUGUGAUUUUAAAAAUAUAUUUUUAUAUUAAUUUAAAAAUAUUUUUAAUUGAAAAGGUAAUAAAGAUUUAAAUAAUAUAUAAUUUAAAUAUUACACUGCCAGGAGAUAUAAUAUUUUAAUAUGUUUUUAAUUAAAAAUCAUUUUAAAAAAUUAACAUGCACCACUAUGCAGAUAGUUUUUUUACUUUUUACUCUUAUAAAAGAUAUAUAAUAUAUACCUUUAAUCAAAGAUUAUGUCAUGAGGGUGUAGAGAUAAUUUAUAAUAAAUCUGUGUUAAGAUAUUAUAAAUUAGAGCUUUUAGAAAAAAUCUCCUCAUAUAUAUUAUUUUUUUCACUUUUUAAAACACAGAGAUGUAAUUUAUAUGUGGAUUUUCUAAUAUAUACUAAAAUGUUAUUGAUUAAAGUUUAAAUAUAUUAACCAUCUAGUGACCUAGUAAUAAAAGUUUGGGAUCAAAAAAUUUGUUUUCUCUGUGGUCUCAGAUUCGAGCCAUGUAGUUGCUCAUAUGAUGGCCACUGGAGACUUACAUGGUCGUUAACUUCAGAGCUCGUGGGAUUAGUCGAGAUGUACGUAAGCUGACCCGGACACCCACGUUAAACUAAAAAAAAAUUAAAUAUAUCAAACAGCUAUGAAAGUGACAUUCUCCAGUUUUACGAUUGAGCUACCAUCAUUUGCCUCCACAAUGAAGUGGUGCUUCGCCUAGGAAUUUGAGGAGGAAGAGCUAGUCCUUCUAUGGAUGGCGGAAGGUUUGAUUCAGCAGAACGAUGACAGCAGGCAGCUGGAGGAGUGAGGUGGUGAGUAUUUUCGUGAGCUUGUUUCAUGGUCCAUAUUUCAAGUGGCAACCAUUGAUUGCUCUCUCUAGGUGAUGCUUGACCUAGUAAAUGAUCUUGCUCGAUGGGCUGCGGGGGAAACAUAUUUUGGGCUCGAGGAUGAACUGGAGGCUCAUUGCAACCUGAAAAGGCUGAAAUAUAUAAAAGGUCUCGCUAUUCUUCUUAGAUGCUAUUUGGUAAUGCGCCGCAGCCAUAUAUUUUAAUGUUUGGUAAAAGAAAUAAAUCUGAUUUUAUUUGAUAGGAUCUAUUAAUUUUUGCUGCCCAGCCGCAGGAUUGGAGAUGCUUCUCGUGGUUAUUUUUAGGAACAGUGGAGGCUCCACUAUCGCAAUGUUUAGUUUUUUUUUUUUAUAAAAAACCAAUAAGAAAAGUUUAGUUUUUUUUUCUCCGAACACCAGUGUAGUUAAUCAUAUACAAUAUUUUUUUUUGUUUUUUUAAAAAAAUUAGUUUAAGGUGAAUUAAAUUUACUCAUACUAUAAUGAAAUUGUAAAUUUUUUUAAAAAAAUUAUGUUUUACUCGAAAAACUAGUAUUUAAUAUUAUUUAAUAACACUACAUAAAUUAGAAAGAUAUCGCAUGAUGACGUAGUAUUUGUGAAAUUUGAUCGCAAUUCCAAUAAUAAAGAUAUCACAAUCUUUAUUAUUUAAUAACACUACAUAAAUUAAAAAAUUCAGUUUUUGUUGUUGCGCGCUUAAGAAACCAUAGUUUAAUGACAUUGCACAUAGUUUAAUGAAAUAAUAAAAAAUAUUUGAUAUCAAUAUUAUUUAUUUCAUGAUGUAAUAACAGUAGUUAAAUUUACAAUAUUUAAAUUAAAAAUCAUUAAUAUAUAUAUAUAUAUAUAUAUAUAUAUUAAUUAUUUUAUAACCUCAAUUUGAAAAUCAUUUUUUUAACCAAACAAAUUAAAACUACUUUUUUUUCAACCUCAAUUUCAACCACAGUUUUAAUCAAACACUUAUUUUUUCAAACCAAUCUCAACUAAAAGUAUUUUUUAUAAAAUAAUUUUUUUCAAACCACAACCACAACAACUACCGCAAUACCACAGACACUCUUACACUCAUGAUGAUUAUGAUGGCAUAAAAAAGUUUGAGGCCUUUCAUAAAGCCAAGUGUUCAAGGGCCUUUCUACCAUUCCGACAUGGUGAGACGAGCUACGUAACUAUAAUGUCGUUGGUUUGCUGCCAAGUUUGAAGAGGUUGAGGGUUCUAAGUUUGAGUGGUUAUAAGUUAUAACAUCUCUGAGCUACCUAGUUCCAUUGGGGAGUUGAAACUCCUGAGGCACCUGGACCUCUCAUCCACCAUGAUUAGAAGUUUACUGGAGUCAACAGGUUUCCUAUACAACUUGCAGACAUUGAUUUUAAGUGACUGUUCUUAUCUCACAAAGUGGCCUUCAAAAAUGGGGAAUUUAAUCAAUUUAUGUUAUCUUGAUAUACAGAUGUGUAUUUGAUAGGUGAGAUGCCAUUAGGAAUUAAAAAUCUUAAGCGUCUUCGCAAACUGUAUGAUUCUGUUGUCAGCAGGAAAAUUGGGCAUGGGAUAGAGGAGCUAAUGGAUUUAAACUUUCUCUGUGGAACGCUUUGCAUUUCAAGGUUAGAGAAUGUGGUUGAUCAUCGGAGAGCAAGGCAGGCCAAUUUACCGGAGAAGCAGGAUCUAGAAGCUUUGGUGCUGAAAUGGAGUUCUGAUAUCACCGAUUCAAGAAAUGAAAGGAUUGAAAAUGAUGUAUUAGACAUGCUGCAACCUCAUCAGGGGCUGAAAGAGCUGACAAUCAACUCUUAUUCUUCCACAGAGUUUCCAUCUUGGGUUGGAGAUCCUUCCUUCUCUAACAUGGUGCUUCUAAGUUUGGAGAAUUGUGAAAACUGCACAUCCGUGCCAGCUCUUGGGCUUUUAAAAUCGCUCAAGGACCUUUCCAUCACUGGGAUGAGUGGACUGCAGAGCAUAGGUCGUGAGAUUUACGGGGAAUGCUGCUCAAAUCCUUUUCCUUCACUGGAGACUCUUUAUUUCAAAGACAUGCCUGGAUGGAACUACUGGCAUGCCAACGGCGAAGAACAAGUUGAAGUUUUCCCUCGCCUGCAUAAGCUUUCUCUCUUGAAUUGUUCUCGGGUAUUGGGAAGAUUGCUAUAUUAUCUUCCUUCAUUGAAAGAGCUAGUUAUUUGUGAAUCCAAGUGCUUGUCGGUUUCUAUUUCAAGUUUUCCGAUGCUCCGUAAUUUAGAUGUUGAUGGAUGCAAGGAAUUAAUCUGCAGAAGCACGACUCAGUUUAGCUCACUCAACUCCGUGGUUCUUUCAUGCAUUUCAAAUUUCAGUUUUCUAACUUUGGGCUUCAUGCAAGGGUUGGCAGAAUUUAAGAAUUUAAAGAUUACUGGUUGCCAGGAGAUCACAGAUUUUUGGCAAAAUGGAGUCAGAUUACUACAACAUCUGAGUUCCUUACGUUAUUUGAAAAUCAGAAGUUGUUCCAGACUUGUUUCCUUUGGUGCAGAGGAGGAAGGACAAGAGCUGAAACUCGGCUUGCCUUGCUCUCUUGAAAUGCUGAAGUUAAUUGAUUGCGAAAGCCUUCAGCAACCAUUAAUUUUGCAUGGUCUCAGAUCCCUUGAAGAGCUACAUAUUGAAAAGUGUGCAGGGCUGGUUUCCUUUGUUCAAACCACUUUGCCUUGCACUCUUAAAAGGCUAUGCAUCAGUUACUGUGAUAAUUUGCAGUAUUUGCUGGAGGAGGAAAAGGAUGCCAACAUUAGCAGCACAUCUCUUCUUGAGUACUUGGAUAUCAGGAAUUGUCCAUCUCUCAAGUGCUUAUUGUCAAGAAGAAAAUUACCUGCUCCUCUUAGACAGCUUGUGAUUUGAGACUGUCCAGAACUGGGUUCAAUAGCUGAGACAUUUUGCUACAUGUCUCCUGAACAAAUCGAGAUCAAAUAUUGUGGAAAACUCGCUUGCUUACCUGAGGGUCUGAACAUGCUCAGUCAUCUUCAGGAGAACACUAUAUGUAACUGUUCAAGUAUACUUUCGUUCCCUGAAGGAGGGUUUCCUGCCACCAGUCUGCGAAAGCUCUACAUGGGCUGGUGCGAGAAGCUCAAGGCUCUGCCGGAAAGAUUGCGAAGUCUCACCUCUCUUGUAGAGUUGGAUAUUCAUACACGCCCGAGCUUUGUGUCUUUCCCACAAGAGGGUUUCCCAACAAACUUGACAUCACUUCUGAUCACAAAUCUCAACUUCUGUAAGCCUCUCUUAGACUGGGGAUUACACAGGCUUGCCUCUCUUACUCGCCUCUUCAUUACAGCCGGAUGUGCACAUAUUUUAUCUUUUCCAUGUGAGGAGACAGGAAUGAUGCUGUCAACUUCUCUAUCCAGCAUGUCCAUUGUAAAUUUCCCGAAUCUCCAAUAAUUAUCCUCCAAUGGUUUCCAGAACCUCACCUUCCUUCAAGAGCUUUGGAUCUCUGAUUGCCCAAUGCUCAAAUCCCUACCAGAAAAUGGCUUGCCUUCCUCACUUUUGGAACUAUACAUCCAUGAUUGUCCUCUACUAAAACAGAAGUGCAAAAAGGAUACAGGGAAAGAUAGCCCACAUCCCUUGUGUUUAUAUUGAUAACAGCUUCAUUUAUGAUUCAGAGGAUGAAGAAUGAAUUCCAUUUCAUCUCAGAAGAAAGCAACAGCAUAGAAGCUGAUAUUUGCUUCCUCCUAUUCUUGUAUUCGACUCAGUAUGUCAGUUGCUGGAAGUACACAUAUUUAUCAGCAUUAAGCUAUCAUUUUCUUCCAUGAUGAUAAAUGUCAAUUAAACCUCAAGAAAUUGAACAGAAAAGAGUAUAAGAUGAUGAAAAAAUGGAUGGAAUCCAUUUUUAUCUUGUUUUAUAUACUCUGAAAUUUUAAGUAGAUAUUUCCCUGUAUUUGAAAAUUGAUACCAGACUUUAUUCUUUCAUUGUCCAAAAAACAGGCACUCAGAGCCUGCUAGCAUAAUAUGAAGAUCAAUCAUGUAAAUGGCAGAAUAAUGAUUGUCUAAUACUGAUGUAAAAAAAAAAAAGGGGGUUUUCCAGAUCUUCUGAGCUCCUAUAAGUUGAUAUUGGCCAUCUCAAUUAUCUUUGUGAGCCAUAAGUCCUGGUCCUGCCAGUGGUUUUCCAGAUAUGAAAAUAUUCAGAAGGAAAUGCAGAUGCUUCCUAGUUCUCAUCUCCAUUCCAUAAUCUUGGAUUUUCAUGCCUCUAGUCCGUAGAUGCCCUACUUUUGCAGUCAUGAACUUUCGGUGUUGGCUGGUAAAAGUAUCUAUUGCUACAUGGAUGUUAAAGGUUACUCUAACUCUGCAAUGACUGAAGUUGGGGCAGACUAAUGCAUGAAGAGUUUUGUCAUUUGUAUUGAUCCAUUACUGUGAAGGCACAAAGAAUUUCGUGGACUCUGUUAAUGGGCUUGUAAGCACUAGGCAUGUGUAUUUAGGUCAAGAUUUUUAAUUUCGUUUUGGUAAGUGUUUUGUUUUUUCAAUUGGAAAGAAAUAUUUUGAUUUUAGAGUGUUUCAGUGUGCCAUUUCAUGGUUAUAUUAUUCAUAUAUAUAUAAUUCAACAAACAUAAUUCAAAUUCAAAAUAAAUUAAUUAUAAAUGAUGCAAUACAAACACAAUGUCAAACAAAUAUAAUUUUAAAAUUUAAAUAUUUCUAAAUAGUCAAGAUUAAAUAGAACUUUAACUUAAAGUAAUUCAAAUUAAACAAAAUAUUAAUUUGAUUUAAUGGCUUUUCAAAUCCGGAACGAAACAUGUGAAAUGAAACUGGAAGAUUCCGACCGAAAUUUAUCUGAAAAAUCCGGAACGGACCGAGAUUUAAAAUGAGAUGAAAAUUGUUCUAUUUUAUUCUUUUUUUUUUAAUUAGUAUGAAAUGUUUCGGCCAUUCCGGAUAAAACGAAACAGAAUUAACAAUCUUAGUUUAGGCAGACUAUUUAUAGUUUUGAAGUAGAAAAGAUAAAGAUGAGAUAUUAUUAGCAUAUAAAUUUAUUUUAUGAUAAAAAUGUCUUUGUCUGUGUUAAAAUAAAAAAAAUAUAUAUUUUUAUCUUUAUAUUUUUAAUUAAACAUGUUUUUAUCUAUUUUUAUAUUUGUAUAUUAAAAACAUACUUGUCUUAGCUAGAACCGCUUAAAAAAAAUCAACUCUGAACCAAUCCAAAUGUCAAGGAGUAUUGCGAGUGAAGAUUUAUUGGCUGAGAAGAAAAUAUCUUCUCAUAUGGAUAUUUAAAGAGUAAUUUUUUUUUUUUUUUGGCUUUAAAAUCUCACUUUUUAUCAACCUAUGAGCCUAAUUCAACCAAAUUAAAUUGGAAUUUGUUUUUCAAAAAGUGCUUGAGCUAGUUGCUUGAACUUUUUGAAUGGUCCCUGAAGAUCAGAAUAGAUAAUACUCAAAGAAUAUGGUAUCUGACUUGGCUUCAUUCCUUUAAAGUUUUGUUCUUUGUUUCCUGAAUGGCUGCUUGAUUUCUUCUAUUAUUAUAUACCUCAAAAUGGAAUGUUCUUCCACCUAAAUAAAAGCAUAGAGUAGCCUAGUUUUGUUGAUCUUUCUAUUAAAAGAAUACAGAAAUGAAGAUAUUUUUUCAUAUCAAAUAACCUUCUCAACAUUAAAAAUAUAAAAAAUCAUACCAUUAGGUAUAAUUUUAAAAAUUAAAAUGUUGAUCUUAUACAUAGUUUUGUUAGAUAUAACGAAGAUAAUAAAAUUCGAGCUUCUAAACGUUUGCUUGUUAAAAAAUUAUCUCAAUACAAAAGCAUAAACGGCUAGUUAAGGCUCUAUGAAUGAUUUCAUACGAUUCUCUGGCACUUUAUACCUAAAGAAAAUUAUACUAUUCUAAUGUUUUGGUAAGGAGGACCUGUUUAUGCAUUGCUUUGGUCGGUAAUUGGAAUAUCUUCCUUGCUUUCACAUCAAUAGAUGGUUUUAAAUGUUCUCUUUUCUUUUAUAGGGUUUUUUUUCCCCUUUGUGGUCCAUUAGGGUAACAAUUGUCUCAGUUUGAGCUGCAAUGCAAAGAUAAAGCAGUGUAGCCAAAGCUAGACUGGUUGUUGUGUACAGGUUGCGAGUUCAACAAGCUGAACGGUUGCCUUGAGAUGAGUUAAGAUCCUGCCCUUAACUUCUCCUGUUAGGACUAUUUCAGGUCCAAAGAUGAAAUGGAAAUGGCUAAAGUAUUUGACAUUCUAACCGAGAAUUGACAGACAAGAACUAGUUUACUGCUUCAGACUGCUUGAAAAACUCCAGGGAAAUAUAAUAGUACUAAAGUGGAAACUGCAGGGGAUAAAAAACAGAAGAAAUUGAUGGUUUUAGUUUCUUUCUCUGACUUGCAUCUCCUAGCAAAAGAAACUUGAAGAAAAGGGAAUGGAAAUUGCUUGCCAGUUCCAUGGAGUAGAUUCUACUGUGGAAUCUUAAUUGUGGAGGUUACUGACAAAUGAAAACUUACCAACUAUUCAAAAGGGCAAAAAAAAAAAACCUAGCAAUUUGUAUCAUCUGAUGUUUUAAAAUUCAGAAAUGCUGGGCAAGUAGAUAGGACAUGGUUCUGAACAAAACCUGAUUGGAUGGAACCAUGCCAGCUUCACUCUUGAAUCCUCAUAGGCUCCAUUUCUUUCGGUGGAGAAUGGAAAAGGGGGGGAAAGGAGAGAUGACCAUAUCCAGCCUUCUAGACAAUGCAUGAUACAUUUUGGCAUGUUACUGUCUUUGAUAUAAAAAAAAAAUGAAAACAAUGGAGAUAAAAGAGUAUACGUUCCCUAUCUUUUCUAUUUUGAAAUGAUUGAAAUCCACUCCAAACCUAUCUCAAAUAUGUUUUUGUCUAUUUUUCUCCAGCCAAACAAGUUAUUAUCCCUUGUUUUGCAAAAUGAUCAAUAUCGUUAAUACUGUAAAGUGCUUAGAUAAUCUGUUUGUGUAGUUUGCCNNNNNNNNNNNNNNNNNNNNNNNNNNNNNNNNNNNNNNNNNNNNNNNNNNNNNNNNNNNNNNNNNNNNNNNNNNNNNNNNNNNNNNNNNNNNNNNNNNNNCGAAAAAAAGCUUGGAUUUCAGGCUGCAGCAGAUCAGGAAAAGUGUGACGAGAAAACGCACCUAAAUAAAUCAUCUUGUUGAAAUUAGUAACAACAGCAGGCAGAUGCCUAAACAACGAGAUCUGUGUUUGUUUCGAAUCCUUGAAAUGGUUGUCGGCUUUCGGAAAAAAAUGUUAAUACAGGGAAAAUUAACAAUCUACAUUGAUCUAUAACAAGGAUGAAAAGUACAAGCAAAUAAGGUAAGGAUUCCUUGGCUUAUGUAAAUCAAACUCAUUGUUGAAAAAGGAUGUAAGAAACAUAAGAACAUAUCUUACGGUUCUUUUCCUGUGUUGGUGGGGUAGCAAUGUCAUGUUCGUCUGUGACAAUGCCAUGUUCUGUGGUAUUUGUCCCAAAGCUCAACUCCUUAAGCUUAAUUUUGUCCUUGGCAAAACACAGAUUCCAAAUUAGGGAUUCUUAACUCUAAUUAACCUCUGAAAUUAUGCAGAUCAACCAUGUAAAUGACAAAAUAAAUAUUUGUUUCAUUGUGCUGCAGGUUAACUGGAAGCCUUGAAUUAAGCAAGGGAAGAACGAAGGGGAAAGAGGUUUGAGAAGGGAGAAGAAGGUUAUCACGUCCAGAACGUGUUGAGAGAAAGAGAGAACAGGGAAUAGAGUUUGAGAAUUCUGUUGUAAAAUUUCCACACCUUUCUGUUACAAUGAUUAGGGAAUUUAAAGACAAUAUUGUAAAUGCCAGCGUGGCAUCACUACGUGGCUGUACCAGCUGGCCUACUAGAAUAUAAAAUGAAGCUGCACAAAAACGCAGCCGUUUGGUUCCAUUUAUUUAAAAAUCAAAAUCCUGUUUCACUUUCCCCUUUGCUCGUUUGUGCCUUCUUUCCUUCUGUUCGUGACAAUGCCCCGUCCAUGAAAUCAACCUUGUCCUCAAGGUGGAAUUGAGGGAAUCGCCACUCAAACUCCUCAGCAUCCUCCCAGGUUGCUUCUGUCAAAGGUAAGUUUUUCCAUAGAAUCAAAAACUGAGUUGAUGCUGUAUUUCCCUUUUUGAUCAUUCGUCUCUCAACAAUUUUCUGUGGUUGUAGCAGGGGUUGUGCAGAGACAAUGGGGAGAUCGGACUGCACCACAUGGUUGCCUACAUGCUUCUUUAAUUGGGAAACGUGAAAGACGGGGUGGAUCACGGCAGUAGCAGGUAAUUGUAGUUUAUAUGCCACUGUUCCAAUUUUCUUGAUGAUUGUGUAGGGGCCAUAAUACUUUGCUGAUAAUUUGUAAGAGGGUCGCCUGUGAACCGAUUUCUGUCGAUACGGUUGUAGUUUCAGAUAGACUAAGUCACCCUCAGAAAACAUCCUUUCACUUCUUUUCUUGUUGGCUUGCUGUGUCAUUCGGUUUUGUGCUUGCAAUAAAUUGCUCCUGAUGAGUUUGAACAUGUCUUCUCUUUGGGUUAAAUACUGGUCCACAGCCUCCACGGGUGAAUCCUUAGGCGUAUAGGGAAUGUGAACUGGAGGCCCCAUUCCAUAUAAGAUCUCGUAGGGUGUCUUCUUAGUAGAGGAGUGGUAGUUUGUAUUGUACCACCAUUCACAGGAGCUCAGCCAGCGUCCCCAUUGUGCAGGGAUGGUUCCUGUCAUGCAUCUUAGGUAGCCCUCGAUGCAUUUAUUGACCACUUCUGUCUGUCCAUCAGACUGUGGAUGAUAGGCUGUAGAGUAUUGCAAAUUGACCCCCUGCUGUUUGAAUAACUCCUUCCAAAACUGGCUGAGAAAAAUGCUGUCUCUGUCACUCACAAUUGUUGCUGGCAUCCUAUGCAAUUUAUACACAUUUUCCAUAAAGACCUUGGCUACUGUAAUGGCAGAGUAGGGGUGGGUGAGGGCCAUAAGAUGGGCAUACUUACUAAACCUGUCGACCACCACAAAAAUGACUUCCUUCCCUUCUGAUUUUGGCAGUCCCUCAAUAAAAUCCAUGCUAAUAUCUAUAAAAGGAGCAUGUGGUACUGGUAAUGGUUGCAGUAGACCUGGAGGCUUGACAUUUUCCCCCUUGUUCUGUUGACAAACUGGACAUUCCCUGACGUAUUGCCUCACCAGCUUUUGGAGUUUCUUCCAAUAGAACACCUGCCCUAAUUUUUUUGAAGUAACCGUAGCUCCUGAAUGCCCCCCUACUGCAGAGUCAUGAUAGAGUUUGAUAAUUUGAUGAUGUAAGUUCGGUGCUUGUCCCACUACCACCUUCCCCUUUCGAAUGAGAGUGUUAUUAACCCAUGAGUAGUUGGAGUGUGAGCUAGCAUCCUUGGUGAGGUCUGCUAUAAGCUGUCUCAGGUUGUGAUCAGUGUCCCAAGUCUUCUUAAUGUCUUCCAUGAGAGAGGUGGAAAUGGAUGAAAGGGUUAAUGCACCCAACUCAUUGUGAGAAAUUCUGGAGAGGGCGUCUGCAGCUAGAUUGUCUUUACCCCUUCUAUAUUCAAUUUCAUAAUCAAAACCCAAUAGCUUAGUUAGCCAUACCUGUUGGGAAACAUGUGUAGUCUUCUGGUCUAGCAGGAAUUUGAGGCUGGAGUGGUCUGUCCUGAUAAGAAACCUUCUGCCCCAUAAGUAGUGCUUCCAUUUUGUAACAGCAAAAACAAUGGCCAGCAACUCCCUCUCAUAAGUGGACAGGGCUAGCUGUCUAGGACCUAAGGCUUUGCUUACAAAUGCAAUGGGGUGUCCUUCUUGCAUCAGUACCCCCCCUAUACCCACUCCUGAAGCAUCUGUUUCUACUACAAAUGUUUUGUCAAAAUUAGGCAGGGCUAGCACAGGGGGUUGGGACAUUGCGGCUUGGAGCUGUUUGAAGGCCAAGGUGGCUGUGUUUGUCCAUUUAAAGGAGUCUUUUUGUAGUAGCUGAGUAAGGGGUCUGCAAAUAGUUCCAUAACCUUGCACAAACUUUCUAUAAUACCCUGUUAAGCCUAGGAAACUUCUAAGUUGUUUGAUGGUUGUAGGUAUGGGCCAUUGCAAGAUAGCAGUAACCUUGUGUGGGUCUGUUGCUACUCCCUCUUUGGUGAUUACAUGUCCCAAGUAUUCCAUCUGUCGUGUCCCAAACACACACUUACUUUCCUUGGCUACUAAUUGAUGGGUACAUAGCAAUUCAAAUACCAAUCUAAGGUGUUGUAAGUGGUCGGCCAUGGUUUUACUGUAAACCAAUAUAUCAUCAAAGAAAACUAAAAUAAACUUCCUUAAAUGAGCUCGAAAAAUAUCAUUCAUUAAACUUUGGAAGGUGGCCGGUGCAUUAGAUAAGCCAAAGGGCAUGACUAGGAACUCAUAGUGGCCAUUAUGUGUUCUAAAGGCUGUUUUAAAAACAUCUUCUGAGACCAUGCGAAUCUGAUGGUAACCUGCCCUUAGAUCAAUUUUCGAAAAGAUGGCAGCCCCUUCUAGUUCUUCUAGCAGUUCAUCUAUUAUAGGAAUAGGGUACUUAUCUUUGAUAGUGAUCUUGUUGAGGGCUCUAAAAUCAACACAAAAUCGCCAAGUCUGAUCCUUCUUUUUCACAAGCACCACUAGAGAGGCAAAGGGACUGUUGCUGGGCUGCACUAUGCCUGCCUCCAGCAUUUCAGCCACUAGAGUCUCUAGAGUGUCCUUUUGUAAGCCUGAGUAUCUGUAGGAUCUUAAAUUGACAGCCUGGCUCUCGUCCUUCAGGGGUAUUUUGUGAUCAUGUCUCCUAGCUGGGGGCAACCCUUGGGGAUCACAAAAAAUAUGCUGGUAGGCUGUUAGUAGAGUCUGUAAUGGUGAGUCCUCAUUGCCUUCCCCAGCAUGUGGUAUUCCCUGAGCAGGGUUUACCAAUUCAGCCUUUCCCACCACUCUCAAGCUGCAAAGCCUGACUUCAGAUAAUAAGGUUUCAGUGCUAAGCAGUCCAUUUAGUUCCUCUAGGCGUAUAGAUUGAGCAAUUCUAGGAUUUUCUCCUCUUAAAGUUACUUCUCUGUUCUGCCACCAAAAGGAUACCCAUCUAUCUUCAUAGUUGGACAAUACAUUUCCUAGCAGCUUCAACCAUUGGAUUCCCAAAAUCAUAUCAUAGUUUUGUAACUUCAUAACAUAUAUGUCUGCCUGAAACUGAACUCCUUGCAUCUUCCACUGCAGGUUCUUACAUACUGAAGUGCAAGACAUGGUGCCACCAUUAGCUGCCUCCACCACCAUAGGCUUUAUGGUUGUCGUGGGGCAUUCAAGUUUGUCCAUCAGAUCAGCAUGAAUGAAGUUGUGAGUACUGCCCGAAUCAAUCAAGAUUAAGAUGGGACAUUUGUCUAUCUUUCCCCAUACCUUAAUGGUUUGACAUCCUGCUGUGCCAUGGAUUGCUUGGAGAGAUAGAUGAGGGGUGAGAUUUUCUGUAUUCCUUGCCUCCAUGGUUUCCUCUUCUUCUGAUGAAUUAUCUCCAUCAUCCUCUACUAUACAGAGGGAAUAUAGCUUGCGAUUUCUGCAUCUAUGCCCUGGUACGAACUUAUCAUCACACCAAAAGCAUAGGCCCUUGGCUCUUCUUUCAUCCAUUUCUUUGGUUCUGAUAGGUCUGGCAGGUUUGUGGUUAGGGUAUACAUUAUUAUUGUUGAAGGGUGGGUUGGUAGGCGUAGGCAACAAGGCUGGUGGGGAAGGUUUUGAAGGAUUGAAGGGGUGACUGGGGUUGGUCUUGUAAGUGCUGGCAGGAUAUGUAAAUUUUGCAGGCUGGGAGUUGGAACUUGCCAGGCUAUGUUGUUUUGGGUAAUGAGGGGUGAUUUUUCGGUAUGUGAGGGUAUUGUUGUGCAACCUAGCUAGGUUGUAAGCUUGUUUGAGUGAUUUUGGCUCGAACAUUUUUACUAGGUUCUUGAUUUCUAUCUCCAAGCCUCCUAGGAAGAACACCAAGGCCUGCUUCUCUGAGAUUUGUGCUCUAUUCCAUAGCAUAUCAAAGUCCCUGAUAUAACCUUCCAAGUCUCCUUCCUGCUUGUGCUCAGUGAGUUCUUCUAAGGGGUCCUUUUGACCUCCAAAUCGACAGCACAAUGCAUCCACAUAUUCUGCCCAUGUAACCUCAUGUCCUUCUAGGUUUCUGGUAUAAUUCUGAUGCCAGUAAAGUGCCAAGCCAUCCAAAUAAUAUGAAGCUAGUUUCAGUUUGUCAGUCUCAGGAAUUUCUUCUAAGUCGAAAUACUGGUUGCAUUUGUACAACCAUUUAUGCACUUCUUCCCCUUCAAAAGAAGGGAAAUCUCGCCGGGGUCUGCGUGACCUGUAGGUAGGUGGUCCUUCUCCUGUCCAAUCUUGGUUGCUGGCCGGAGCAGGGUGUUGGGGCAUUCGAACAUGCUGGGAGGAACUUGCUUCACCCGCCAAGGUUUGCAGGGUUUGUUUAAUAGAGAUUUGUUGAUUUGCCAUUUCCUUCAUCAUGGCUUUCAGCUGGGCUAGGUCAUCUGACUGAGCGUGCAACUUGACUUCUAUUCCAUUGACUCUUUGAUUAGCAGCUUCCAAAGAAUCAUCCAUUCUUCUUACAUCUUGGGAUCUAGUUUCUGGUGCCAUUUGUUGAAUCCAAAGAUGAUGGCUCUGAUACCAAUUUGCUGCAGGUUAACUGGAAGCCUUGAAUUAAGCAAGGGAAGAACGAAGGGGAAAGAGGUUUGAGAAGGGAGAAGAAGGUUAUCACGUCCAGAACGUGUUUGAGAGAAAGAGAGAACAGGGAAUAGAGUUUGAGAAUUCUGUUGUAAAAUUUCCACACCUUUCUGUUGCAAUGAUUAGGGAAUUUAAAGACAAUAUUGUAAAUGCCAGCGUGGCAUCACUACGUGGCUGUACCAGCUGGCCUACUAGAAUAUAAAAUGAAGCUGCACAAAAACGCAGCCGUUUGGUUCCAUUUAUUUAAAAAUCAAAAUCCUGUUUCACUUUCCCCUUUGCUCGUUUGUGCCUUCUUUCCUUCUGUUCGUGACAAUCUCAAUGGAAACAAGGACUUCAAUGAGGCAGAACUUCUUGCCAUACAAAAGCCCUCCAACUUUUUGCUGGAUUCCAUGGAGAAAAAGCUGAAACUGUUUUUAAUACAUAAUGGAUUUGCUUCAAGACUUCACGCAAAGCAACUACAAGUUCUCCGCACUACUCUUAUAUUGCAGAUUGUUCUUUUGUUUAGACUGUGUAUGGAUUUCAUUUUUACCUUGAGCUUCUGCUCUGCUCAUUUUCUAUUUUUCCUGAUCAAUCAGAAGUUUCUCUAUGGAUCUGGAACUAUAUACUGUUCCUAACUUAAUAAACUUGUACAAGAUCAUUAAAAAAAAGGGAGGGAGCAAGUACUUCCAAGACUAACCAAGACAAUGAACAUGCAUGCUUGUUGAUAAAGAAUAAUAUAAAAUUAAAAUUAUAUCUCAGAAUCUCGUUUAAAAACUUCCUUUAUUUUUUAACAUGAUAACAAAGUCCAAGUCUUGUUGACCAAAAUUAAAAUAGUAGCAGUAACUAAUCCAUCAGGAAUUCAAAUCUCACAAUUGUAAUCUCAUUGUUUUACCCUCACCUAAAGUGACUAGAUGAUAACAUGCUCGUUUGCUUGAGAUGGUAGCAGAUAAAAUGCUCGUUCGCUUCGUGAAUUAUUCCCAAAAGUUUCAAACUUGUAAAAUCUUCAACUUCUAACCGAAAUUUCUCUAAUAUGAAUAAUCCGGGUGGCAUGUCCGGAGAGCAAAACUAAUAUGAUUUUUUAAAAUCAAGCUCCUGUCAAAUGGCAGGGCUCUACUUUUGUUGCCAUGAAAGCAUACAAGAAGCUAGUUAUGGAAUCUGAUGGGAAGAAGAAAAUCAAACAACACUUGAAGAUUGUGUUUAAGUAUGGUAAAUGGAGAGAUGAUGAUGGAAUACUGAUCUACUGGCAGAGACUUGUAUAAUUGUUCUCAAAGAACGAUCAAUUGAAGAGUUGCAUUGCAGUAUAUGACAUUUUUUAAGGCACGAGUGGUACAAUUGUGGAGGAAUUUUGUGUCUCUAUGGGACUACUAAUUUCUCAGGCUAGCUAUAACCCAUGGAAAGGAAAGAUUUUCUCAUUUAUUGAUUAAUCUAAGCUCUGCAUGAUCAAUGGUGACAACCUUAUAUGAAAAUCCGAGUUUAUUAGAGAACUGGAUUCCAGCGAGGGAUCAAGUUUUACAAAGAUUUAUGACCGGGUAUUACAGUUUGUAAUGACAUAAAGUAGUGAUAGGAUGGUAAAGAGGGUUUUUGUCUUCACAAAUCUGGAUUUUAGAGAUUCAACGAAGGAAAAAUAGGCAGCAGAAUACAGAGGGGCAUGGAAGAGCUAUAGGAAGAGAGGGUUCAAAACUGUACCUGAGAUUGUUUUUUGGAAUCCUAAGGGUUGCAAACCUAAUCGUAAAGUAAUUGAUAGUCAAGUUGAUCACCACCAUAGAGGGAUAGCAGUGGUUAAAGGGUUUUUUUGUAAAAAAAAAAAACUUAUCAAGUUCUUGAUGGGAGAUGAUCAUUCUACAAAUGCUUACACACAGCAAGAGGAGAAGUUGACAGAGAAGAGCUUGGUUCCAGAGAUGGAUGAGAUUUUAAGCUCUGCAACUAGCCGGGAUGAAUUCAAGAAUCUAAGUGUAAUGGAUUGAUGAUGUGCAAAUGAAUUGAACAAUAUGUUUGUAGUAGCUCAAAAUUUCUCUUCUAUUCAAGUUUAAGUACUGAGCUUUGCACUAAUCUUUUCUCUCCUAGCUUGGCUAAUUAUUUUCUCUAUUUGCUAUACUGAAACUUAGGCAUUUUUUGUCUGGUUUGUAUCAAUUGAAAAGAAUUAACCAAAAGUUUACACUUUCUUAUGAAAUAUAUCACAUAAAGAAAGGACAUUGAGAACGGUGAUGACGGGUCCUGCUAGGGACUACAAAAAUGUGUACUGGAAUGAUACAUGAAUAAUGAUCAACCAGGAGUAAUUUCUGACAAAUUAAUCAAAUAACUACAAAGAAAAACCAAAUUGGAAUCUACAAGAUUUGCCAAGAAAGCUAGUUUUUGAAGCAUUGGAAACCAGAUUUUGAUGUUUUCAGAAAAACUACGCGCAGGAAAACAGUGAGCAGGAACAGUAUCCAAAUGAAAAUUCUCUGGCUACCUACCCAAUUACUCAUUAAAAGCCUUAACUCUCUGAUUCAGCUGGUUUCCAAUGACAUCUGUUCUCAUUUUCUCCGCACAAUAAAUGGCAAGCACUCUCCUCUAACUAUAAGGCUACAAGUGUUUUUUUUUAUGUCACAUUAUCUGUCAUCUUAAUUCUGUCAUUGGAAAACAGAGACACCAUUAAUAGUUGCUUGCAUUUGCAGCAUCGAUCACAUGGAAGUAACUAGGAGGAGCCUGGAAGUAAAUGGAAGGUAUAAUUGCUUGCGUACAAGACUGUCCAGCAAGUAAUUAAAGCCAGACAAUACUUUAAUUUGGUUGGUAGUAAAUUUGGACUUUAUUAUUUGUGAUUUGAACGAUUUGUCCACCACGACAUGGAAUCACUCUUGACUUUUGUUACUCAAAACAUUAAAUUAUAGUGGUAGAAAUAGAGUCAAUAUCUACCAUCGUGUUAUAUAUGGUGGAAGCAAAGGUGAAAUUGCACUCAAGACUCCAAACGAGUGUAAUUUAAUAGAGAAUUAUUUUGAUUUUUUUAUAUUUUUAAUUUAUUUUGAUAUAUUAAUAUAUAAAAUAUUCUUUAAAAAAUAAAAAAUAUAUUAUUCUACUAUAUUUUCAAGCAAAAAAAUAUUAAAAAAUAACAGCUACAUACCACCCUCUCAAACUUUAAUUUUUUAUAUAGGUUCAUCCCCUUUUCUUAAAUUCAAAUUAAAAUAAUAAUAAUAAAGUCAUGGAGAAAGAAAUUUAUGCCAACGACAUGAAAAAUCUAAAUAACCAUUAUUAAAGAGCUCUCUCUCUCUUCCUCUCUUUACAUUCAAGCACCUUAUUUGCUGUUGAGCUUCAUGUGUAUAUACAACUAUUAUAUAUGAAGUACAGGACACUACUCCUAAUUAAUUACUUUCGGUGAGUUUGUUGAUAUAUGGAGAUCAAUAUUUAAUUCAAAAAUUAUAUAUAUAUAUAUAUAUAUAUAUAUAUAUAUAUAUAUAUAUAUAUAUAUUAACCAGAAAAAGAAUACGACAAAAAGAAGAAGAAGAAGAAGAGAUCCUUCCAAGAAAUUUGAAGCUAACCCUAAUCUAAAUUUCUUGGUCAUAUCCAACCCUAAUCCAUAGUCACAGAUACGGGUCCAAAAUGUAGGGUUUUUUUGUAUAAUAAUUUUUGUGGUCAUGGUCUAAAAUUCUACGUCGAAAGUCAGUAAAAAGGAUCAUUUCUAAUGUCCUAUUACAACUAAACAAUGAAUUAAAUAAGCUUGAUUUUGUAGACUCCAAGGAUCAAAGUCUGCUAGAACAAAAAAAGAAAAAUAACCAUAAAAAAAAACAUUUUAAAAAAAUUGUAAAGCAACAAGAAAGUUAAAAAAAGUAAAUAUAUAUAUAUAUAUAUACACACACUCGAAAAGAACUGGAAGUUGCUUAUAUAAUAGUGUAACAGAUAGAGAAAGAGCGUUAACGUGGAGUGUACACUGAAAGCAAAAACCGAAAAGCUUCCUGUCAUUCACACUUCGUCUUCACGCGGUAUCUCUUUUCUCUUUGAAUGAAAAAAAAAGGGGCCAUAUAUUUAUUUCCACAGAAACAGAGAAACCCAAUAAGGGAAAAGCAAAAAAGACACCACCACAAAAUUCUAGAACCAAAGAAACAAAGAACAACGAGAACGGGAGCAUUCGAAGUUGUUAAAGCAGAUGAUGUUGAGAUCGUGGUACAGACCAUUAGAGAGGUGUUUUGGUCGGGUAGCAGGUGGUGGUGGCGGUGAUGGAUUGAUGUGGCAUGCUGAUUUAAAACAACAUGCGUCUGGUGAUUAUUCAAUUGCGGUUGUUCAAGCUAAUUCUAAUUUAGAAGAUCAAAGUCAGGUUCUUACGUCCUCCUCCGCUACUUAUGUUGGUGUUUAUGAUGGUCAUGGCGGUCCUGAAGCUUCCCGAUUUGUCAAUAAACAUUUGUUUCCUUACAUGCAUAGUGAGAAUUCUCUCCUCUCUCUCUCUCUCUCUCUCUCCCCUCUUGUUUAUUUUUUUUUCUUUUGUUUGUUUUGUUUUUUGUCUUAAUUAGUUGUUUUCUUGAUUGUAAUGAUCAUGAUCACGGUGAUUAUCUUAAACCCUGAAUUUAUUUGUGGUUUUGAUGUCUUAAUCUAUUGGUCCUGUGGUUAAGGACUCAAGGUCCAGUCUUUGUGUGUUUGAGUUUGAAUUCCCAAACCCCAUAUCACAAAUUAUAGAAAGGAAAGAGAGUUUUAUUAUUAUUAUUAUUAUUAUUAUUAUUAAUCAUACGUUAUCUAAUUCUUCAUUUUUUACUAUCUUUUCUUUGGUCACCUUUCCCUUGUUCGUGCUAGUGCAAUAGUAUGUAUUAAUAUCUUUUCCAUUUCAAUAGAAUGAAUCUCGAUGUGAGAGGCUGGAGUUUGCUUUUGUGGGUUUAGUUAUGUUAGUGUUAGGGUGACAAGUUGUAGAAAACCUUGAAAGUUUCUAGCUUUAUUGAAUUGGAGCUUUGUUUGUUUGUGUUUUUAUUGUGUUUUUAUUUGUGGGCCGAUUGGAAAAGAAACUAGAUAAUAUGUGAUAAAAAUAAAAAAUUUGGCUGCCUAAGACGUGGACUAAACUGGCCUCUAUGCAACAGACUUCUUCGUAAUUGUGUCAUUCUCUAUCUAAGAUGUUAGUUUUGAUUGCAGAAUUUGCUACAGAGCAUGGGGGGUUAUCAGCUGACGUGAUAAGGAAGGCAUUUAAUGCAACUGAAGAGGAGUUUUGUCAUUUAGUGAAGCGAUCAUUACCAUGGAAGCCACAAAUUGCUUCUGCUGGAUCAUGUUGUUUGGUUGGAGCUAUUUCAAAUGAUGUGUUAUAUGUUGCGAACCUUGGGGACUCCAGGGUAGUUCUUGGCCGAGGAGUUGAUGAGGAUAAGAAAAAAAAGGUAGUGGCAGAAAGGUUAUCAACUGAUCACAAUGUUGCUGUUGAGGAGGUGAGAAAGGAGGUUCAGGCGCUUCAUCCUGAUGAUUCACAUAUUGUAGUCUAUACUCGUGGAGUUUGGAGGAUUAAGGGCAUUAUACAGGUAAAAUGGCUUCUUGUUGCUGAGCAGCUGGUCUUCUUGUUCCUGUUUUUGCUUGUUAGUUAUGAGAAUUCGGCUGAUUGGGUAUUGUUUGUUUGUGGCAUUAUACAUUCAUUCAUUUAGGUGCCAAAUAUGUUUCUUCAUCCUCUUGAUUGUCUUUCAAUGUCUUGCCAGGUUUAUUUUGAGUUACUUGGAUAACCUCUGUCUUAAAAACACUAUUUUGUAGUGUGUUUGACAUAAAGUAAUUGGUCUGAAGAUGGAUCAAUUCUGAAGGCAUCCAAUUUUAUGUUCGGUUCUCUUAUCUUUAUCUUUUGCUUUAUGAUAGGCAUCUGUCUAUGAUGGAAACACUAUAGUUAAAGUUGGCCUAGGGGUUACAUUCAUACCCUUCCGGGAAUCUUAUGCUCUGCCUCCUGGUCUACCAUUUCAUGCAAUCAAGUGAAGCAGUAUGUCUUCUGAUGCAUGAGAGGUAAAUGAAAACCCCUGAGGCCUAACAAGAAUGCUUAUGUAAUUACCGGAAGUCUUGAUCCUUUUUUUUUCCUUCUAUUUAACUUAUCCGGAGACUAGAAACAUCAUAGUGUGAUGUUCUGGUUGAUGAACUGAACCAUUGUGUUCAUUUGUUACUUGACUCCCUGAAGUUUUGGAGCUGAUUUACUAUCUUAGGCAUGUCGUAGAAGGUGGAAUAAACCUUCCCUGUUUCCUUUUUCCCUUUUCAGGUAUCUAGAUCCAUUGGUGAUGUGUAUCUGAAGAAACCAGAGAUUAACAGGGACCCAAUUUUUCAGCAGUUUGGGAACCCUAUUCCUUUGAAACGGCCAGUAAUGAAUCCAGAACCUUCCAUUCUCAAUAGAAAGUUGAGGCCAGAAGACUUGUUCCUGAUCUUUGCUUCAGAUGGUCUUUGGGAACAAUUGACCGAUGAAGCAGCUGUAGAGAUUGUUUUCAAAAACCCAAGAGCUGUAAGUUCCUGUCUUUGACUUAGAUGUUUCAUUUACUUUUUCUUGCAACUCUUAUUGAUAUUUAAAUCCCGGACCUAAUUUAUACUCUGAGGUUAGGCAAGUUAGGUUUUGAUGGGAUCCUUGGGAAUGAAAAUUGAAUUUCUUUUUCAUAAAACAAGCUUCAUCGAACCCAUGAGAAUGCAGAAUUCAGUUUCAUCUACUCGUAGCAUCUAAACGCACCGUAUUUCUGCUGAACAUGGACAUUGUUUUGGAAAUAGGAUAUUCCUGACAUCUGAACCUUUAAGCAAAUGUUUUGGCAAACAAACUAGAUGUCAUAGAUGUUCAAUUGUCUGGAGUUAUUUGUGCCUGUCCAAAUUUUGUUGCUUGCUUGACAAUUCUCUGGGCUGUUUUGACACCUGCAGGGGAUUGCUAAGAGAUUGGUGAGAGCUGCUAUUCAGGAGGCUGCAAAGAAAAGAGAGAUGAGAUACGAUGACAUAAAGAAAAUAAAAAAGGGAACGCGGCGGCAUUUUCAUGAUGAUAUCACUGUGAUUGUAAUUUAUCUUCAUCACCAAAAAGGUUCCUCCAAUGGUGGACUAAAGAAUAAUGUUGUUGGCUGCACCAGUGCUCCAGUCGACAUUUUCUCCCUUAAUGCAGAUCAAGCAGAGGUGGACUUGCUUCAAACAAUUUCUUGAACAAGGAAAAACCCUUUGAAGGGGUAAACACUGACUUCUUGAUUUCAAGGUAUAUUAAAGGAGAAUACAUUUAUGUAGAUGAAGUUAUAGCGGGUUCUGGUGUUAGCCUUUUCCAAGUAAAUAUAUAACUAUACUUGUUUCAUUCUAUCAAUGACUGGUUAAUUUUUCAGAAAUUGUAGCACCAAUUUUGUGCCUCUUUUGUAAUCCAAAUUUUAGAAAUUACAGGUCAUCAUUGAUUAUUUUUGGGCUUGUAAAAUCUGACAGUUCCGGUAGCCAAUGGUCCAAGGGCAUUUUUACGGUAUAAAUUGCACUGCACUUGCCUUAUUAAAAGCCUCUGACUUCAAGCACUGGCCAUUCUUGAACCAUUGCACAUUAGCAGCACGUGAGGUGAGUUAAGAAGUCAUCACAUGAGCCUCCCUGCCCUGCGCACAGCAUAUAUUUGUCAGUUGCUUCUACCUUCGUAGCUCAAACCUAAAUGAUGCACAACUUUCACACGAGGAAAGAACUUCGAAGUCCUCCAUAAUAGGAAGAAAAAACUACUUCUAUGUUAAAAAUUGCCGAAUUUGAGUUGAAUUGAAGUAACAAAAACAAGCACACCCGUGAUUGUAUAGCAAUACGCAAACGCAGACACGAGCCACCCCUGCAUCCAUGUAGUUGGCUAUGCGUAAGAAAGGGGAUUGUGAGGACUCACUCAAGCAUGGCUCCUUGCAACAAUCAAAAAGAUCGGAUUGGCCUUAGCUUCAGGCUUUAGGUCCCCAUUGAUGAUUAAUGAGAGGAUAUGAUGAUGACAAAAAUGUAAUAUACAUGGAUGAUAUUAAGAUAAAAUAACAUAAAAAGUUUUUUUUUUUUAAAAAAAAAAAGAAUAGAAGGAUAUAGGAAAGCUUUAACCCUUGCGAGACCAUGAUGCAUCCAUCGUUAUUUUUGCUUUGCCCAACUUUGCAUCCUUAAAAAACUCAAGAUUGGGAGGAUUUGAGGUUCUUGAAAAAAAAAAAAAUUAAAAAAACUCCUUGUACUGUAGAGAAACAGUGAUGGCGGCUGAAUUGCUUGGUGGAGCUGAUGUUGGAGCAGUGUUUGGUGAGCUGCUAGAAGCAGUCUUGAAUGAGAUAAACAAAGCCGCGUUCAAGACGAGACUGAGGCAAAUAGAAAAAACUCUACAAUCCAACAGUCCAAUUUUACAAGACAUGGAAAAGUUGAAUCAAGCAUUAAAUCGUAGAAAUGAGGAGACAGAAACAAUAAUAGAAGUAAUCAGGAAAGGCAAGACGCUCGUUGUUGUAUGCUCAAAAACCCGUAGGUAUAAUUGUUGGAGAAGGCAGAAAUACACAGACAAGCUCGUCAAGUUAGAAGAAUCCAGUGCACAAGUUAUUCUUUCAAACUGUUAUGCCAAAGCAAACAGUAAGGGACAGUCAAGAAAUUCUGUUGGAGCUAAGAGGCCAACAGCUCAAGUUCAAAAGGAAAAUUGAUGGACUUGUUGUCUCAUGUACAAUCUCUGGUGAAUGCUGUUGGAUUACAGGUGGCUUUAGGAGAAUUGAAGAUGGAGCUGUUUAAGGAUGGGAUGUCCAUUGCGGUGCUAUCUGCUCCUCCAGGCUGCAGAAAAACAACAUCGGCAAAACUACUUUGUCAUGUGUCAUGUGAAUGCUUUCCUUGUUAUGUAAUAAUCUCUACUAGUUCUUAGUAGCAACUCUCUCGUAUAGUUUUCGGUCUUUGAACAGGAAAAUUCAAGGAUAACAUCUUUUAUAUCACUGUGUCGGGAAAAAAAGAAGGCAUUAUUUAAUUACAAAAGAAAUAUUGUUUUAAUAAUUUUUUUAAGAAAAAUAUUUAAAAAACAAUAUCAAUCAUCGUAUGCAAAAAAAAAUCCCAAGAACCUGACAGCUUCAAAGCAUGAGCCAUGAUUACAGUAUCGAGUUAUUGAAAUAUAUGUAACCUGGUCGGAUGAGCAAAGGCGCAAAAUUAGGAGAAGCCAUAAUGAUAAAGGUAUUAAAUUAAUAUAAAUGAGUCAAUUAGACCUCCUAAGGCAUAACGUGGGUUCGCCCUAGGCCUCAAUUAGUAUCUUCAAUUUUGAUUCAAACCUCCUUUUUAUAACAAAAAUAAAUUUAAUUUAAAAGAUAUACAUAGUAAAAUGUGAAAUGUGUGUUUUGUGAGGUAUUACUGUUCAAUCGUAUUUUAAAAAAAAAUAAUUUUAAAUUAUUUUUGUAUAUUUUUAUAUUGUAAAGUAAAAUAGAAAAUUAUGCAGAUAAAUAGAAGGAUGAGAAAAAGAGAGAAAAAGAAUAUCAAUGAUGAUAUAAUAAUAUUAAAAAUAUAUUUAAAAAUUAUUAUUUUAAUAUAUUUCUAAAUUUAAAACAAUUUUUAAAAAACCCACUUUUAAAUAUAUAAAAUUAAUUAGAAAAUGCAAGGAGAAAUUAGACCAGGUGAGCUCAGAAAGCCCAUUUGUUACCGGGCUCAAGAGUGAAGACUUUCGAAACGAGCAUGGGAUUGGUGACCAAAACAAAGCCUAAAAAAACUCACUAUCACAGAGAAAUUGAACCCGUUGAGGUUGAGCUCAUAAACUUGAAAUUUCUUUUCUUGUUCUUAGAACAAGACUUGAAAUUUCAGAAACAGGACACUCAAGACAAAUGGGAAUCAGUGGAGACCCUCGAACAUUCAGGCAGGUUGUAGUGCAAAAUUAAGGAAGAAGGAAUGAGUGCUAGUAGUUUGGUUGCAGAUACAGUUUGGAAAACCAUUGAAUCAACCCAAUCAGGUCCUCUCUUUCUAUAUCUCAUGCUUUUUAAUAUUUAGUUAUUAAAGUCUUUUAAACCCACCUUCUAUUAAAUGACGCUUAGUGUCUUUUUUUUUCCUUCCGUGGCUAAUGUAAAUGGUGGCAGUGACUGAGGAGCAGCUUUCAAUGUGAGAAGCAUAUAAAAUAGUCACUUUCCAAUUUCCUAGCUUGCUUUUGAUCAAGUUAGUAUUGAUUUGUAAAAGGGUGUAAAUGGGUUGAUUGAUUUUGGGCCUUUUCUUUGUGUGUGUUGUUUGGGUUAAAUGUAGCUUGCAUUUCUUGUUUGGUAAGAAUCUUGAGAGGGCAACAAAGAUAGUGGAUCAGAGAGGUGUCAAAAAGAUCUCUGGUCAGCCCAGCGGUCGUUCCAUCUUUCAGGUUCAAUUCUAUUCUUUGCUAUGCAUUGUACUUUAGACUUCAAAUUUUUGCACAUGGUUGUUCGAGUUUGGAUCUAGGGCCUAAUUCGGGUUUUAAAAUGCAAAUAAAAUUGGUUUAGGUUGAAUUGUUUUGUGAUAAAAUGGCGGGGCGAUAAGCUAGGAACUUCAGUUUAAAUGGAAUAUCUGAUGAGUUUGACUGUUUUGGUGUAAAUUUAUAAAGAGGAAUGUUUGAGCAAUUUAGUUUGGAUUAGCUUACUAAAGAAAGGUUUGAGGAUUAAAAGAGUGCAGUUAAGGUUCUCCCUAUUUGAGAAUAGCUGUAAAAUUUUAGGAUCAAUCAUUUAAGAACUGAUUUGGCAAAUGGGUUUGAGGUGAAAUUGGAUUAUGGUGAAGAAACUUGGUAGUUAGCACUGUGAACAAAUUGUUAAAUAUGUUUCAUUUAAAAAGAUAGAAGUAAAGAUUAAGAUUUGAUCAUUUAAGAACUCAUUUGGUAAAAUAAUUUCUUGUUUGCUGGUGUUGGUAGGUGGUGGGAGAAUCAAGGAGGAAGGAGGAGUAUUUCUGUUUUCCUGAACACUAUUGUGCCUGUUAUUCAUUUUUUUAUGACAUUGUCAACAGAGGAGAACAACUUUGUGUAAGAGCUCUUUUUUUUUUUCCUUAUUUAUCAUUUCAGUUUGUUGAAACCACUUUUCUAUAAUGUUUUAUGAUUAACUCUUUCAUUUCUUGAAUCCAUUUCAGUGUAAGCAUCAAUUAGCUGCAAGACUUGCAGCAGCAUUAGGAGCGUUCAUUGAUGUUAAAGUGUCUGAUGAGCAACUGGCUCUCUUACUCAUCAAACUAUAACAUGUGGAGAUGGAAGGGAUCUGACUUUAAAAAAGAAGAGGUAUGGUCCAAGAGAAUCGUAGCAAAAGUUUUUAUUAAUUUCGUAGGCUUCUGACUUUGGAAGCAACUACCAGCAAUGAAAUUCUACAACCACUUCCAGGAGAUGAAAUAAUACAUCACUAAUUCGGUUGAGCUUUGCAACUUACUGUACCUCAAAAUCUUUCAGAAUUCCAUAAUCAGGUCUACUUCUCAACAAGCGAUGCAAUAUUAGCUUUGAUCCUUUACUGAUGCAACGAUGGCCAUACUCGGAACUCUGGCUCUGGUGCUGCAAACGAUUAUGAACAUUUCAGUCAAGAUCAAACAGGCUUUAGUAUAAUUUAGAUUUAGGAGACUCUGGCACCACAUUUCAUUUCAUUUUGAUCUUGAUUUAUAGAAAGUGCCAUUCCCCGUUGGCAUUCAUGGAUUACAUUAAAUUUUUGUCAUUCUUGUGUUGUCAUUGUAAACUCAAGAAUCUAACUUGUUUCCACGGUUUGAUCUUUUGGUAAUAUUUGCACCUUGACUUGAAAUGAUGCUUAAAAUAUCUUAAAUGUUGCAUGCAUGCUAUCAGGUGCAAUCCUAAAAAGGACAACCAUUGAACUUGCACGAUGUUUAUGCCCCACCAAUGUUGUUUUAUACUCUGUAGUUGUUGUUCCAUUGCAUAUAAUAGAUCUUCACAUCUUUAGUCAUGUUGAGUUUCUUUUUCUUUCAUUUUCAUUAGAUUAGAUGUUCAUGAAAAAUGCAAUGCACAGUGAAUCAUCAAUGCUAUUAAUGAACGGAUCAUUUUUACAUGUUAAGCAAAUAAUGUCUAGCCCCACUUUGAAAAUUGUCUCAAAAGCAUCACUAAUCAGAGACGAUUUGAAUCACUGAUGUUAUCCAUGAACAGUUCAAUGUUACAUGUUCAGCAGAUGUGUAAACGCCACAUUUGAAAUUGUCCCAAAUGCAUGCUAAUGCCAGUUGAUUUGAAUUGUGUUAGUGAUCUGUUGUCUCGGUAGUUCAAUGUUAUGUUCUCCAAUUAUGUAACCCAAAGAGCUAUUUCAACAUUUCAGCCUUCCUGUGGCGUGCGAAGUAAACGAUGGGGUUUGUUGGGAAUGGAAUGGGCCAGGUCUAGACUCUAGCCUGGUAUCGGGGUACAAAACUGCUGACCGAGAAGAAUCUACUUGGUCGUUGUUUCCGGCACCCCCACAAUAGAAAAAUAACUGGUUACAAGCUUGCAAAACAUUAUGAAAAUGUCGUCUUCUCAUCACGUUCUCAAAAACUGGUGUAACCUGGAAGGCUUACAAAAUGUUGGGAUGAACAUCCUUUGAGGAUUUCUGAAAAUGCUUGGCAAAGGCUCUAAAUCCCUUUUGUUUUGUUAAUCAUGUCCCAUUGAACUGCAUCUCCCUUGUCUCAUGUUGCUCUUGCUUUGCCUGUAUUUUGAUGGCUAAAGUGCCAAGUAACACACUGCUCGCUCAUCAGUAUGUCAAUUAAUACAACAACAACAAGGAUUAAAGUUGCGACAGCAGCUAAAAAUAACCACCAACUGGGAUCUGUUUCAGGAAACUAGAUCUCGUAAAUGAACUAGUGUUACUGGAAACAUCAAUGGAAGCCCCUCAUACUUGCUUAUCGUGGCGUAAGCACUCAGAGUCCUCGCCAUAUUCAACAAACAAGCCGGCGAAAACCCAAAUAUAGCUCCAGGCCUAUGAACAGACCAUUUCAAACCCCCCUUCCUCUGAACCUUAUUAAACAAAACAUCCUCUGAUAAAAACUCAAUGAAUUUAGCCUUGGAAGAUCCUCAUGUAAUGGAGGGUCAUGAGAGCUGAACCUUAAACAAGACUCAAAAGAACCCAAAUAAUGCUUGCGUCCUGUUUGCAAGCAAAUGUGCUGCAAGUUUGGAGUGUUUGGGAUUACAGCUUUAAGCACGUUAUGUAAAAUGGUGCUGUUAAAAAUGCAGUUUUCAGCUUCUGUAGACUUGCUAGCCCAGGAAACGUAAAAGAUGUGGGUUACAUCUGUGAGUUUUGAGAGCUUUUCAAUGGGUUUAUGCAUCGUUCAAGACAUCACAUCGGAUUUGGAGGUAUUUAAUUUGGUGAUCGGAUUGCCAGAUUGGCCGUGGACGGCGUGCAACUCUGUAAACUUUCCAGGGACCACCCGGGGUGUCUGCAAGAGGGAGGAUCCCGGCCAAGCUGCUGCUUACAAUGCCUGUGGCACCUAUUAUGAGGGCCACGCUUUGGUACUUUGGUGGUGCAUCACCAUCCUCUUAAGGUUUUUUCCGUUUUAUUUGAUCAAAUAAAAAUUAUUAGCUCGCCUAUAAUUACAUAACAGGAAAUGGAAUAUGAAGAGGAAUAAAUUGAGUUUUUUUAUAAAAAAAAAUGCCUUUGCAGCACCUAUGGCUCCUGCCCACCACCACCUCAUUGUGAUUGUGUUUUCUGAUUUUGCAAAUCAGAGAGAAGGAUGGAGAGAAGUGCUUGCAAGAAGAGGGAGAUUACAGAGUUGAAGAUGAGUAAUUACGUCGUGGAAAUGUGUAAAUGGACCUAAAAAUUCAGUUUAUUUAUUGAAACACCUUGUUUAUAUCAUGGUGCUUCUAUCCUUGUUAUUGGGGUUUUGGUAAUUAGGCAUUUUGUUUACCUUGUACGCUUUAUUAGUUCAUUGUCACAUUGAAAGUUAAACCAUAGAAAAGAGGGAGUUCUGACAACUGUUUCUGGUGUUUGGAGCAUAAAUCAUCAUUGUCAGCCUAACGUGAUCCCUACUUAAAGAGGGUUCUUAUAAUAACUAAACCAUGAAGUUGGAACUAAUACUAUCAUGGCUUGUCUGGACUCAUACUUGAUGAAAUCGACAGCCACAUCAGAUUAUUGCAUCUCUGAAGAAGAUAGGAGCUAAUUUGAGUUGCGAAGGACGCCAUUCAUAUGUGCAGGCAGCGGAAUUGUGGAUGGAUUAGCAUUUGUGUUAAAACUUUUUAGCAAAAUGAGUGAAAUUCAUUACUUGAUUAAAAAUAAUGUAUUUUAUGCUAUUUCUAUCCAACUCUGAAUGACAAGUUAGUAUCAGACCCAGGGAGCUGUCAUCCGACUAUUGUAAUGACCGGUUUUAACUUGGAAUUUUUAGCGUGCAAUCCUGUUAACUCUGAGGUCUAAUGCUAAAUCAUGUCACCAAGGAAGACAGAGACUCUGUUUCUAUGAGCUAAUUACUUUUCUCUAGUGGAUAACCAAGGCAAAAUAUAAUACCUCUAGAUUAGGACCCAGGCCAGCUUGGAAGUUUGAAGUUCAAAAUCCUUUGCUUUAGCAGAGAAAAUCACAGUAAGAAAUGAAAUAUGGUUUUGGCAAUAUUUUAAGCCAGCCAUUAAGCAAGUUGUUUGAAGUAGACAUGAAACCUACGAUGUUGUUCCUAGUAAGGAUGAAUUUUAAGGACUUGUCAUUGAUAAUACAUCAAAUAAAUUACAGGAUGGUGACAAAUGCAUGCAGGAUUGUUUGCUAAUGUACUGAGAUGUGAUUGAAAAUAUGAUUUGUCCUGAUCACAAUUUUAAAAAUGUUUAAUUACUCGAUAUAUAUCAUAGUUUUGCAUAAAUUUCACUAUAAACUCUCUUUUAAAACCUUGGUCAUGCUUGAAGCUACUUUUUCAAACCUUAAUCGUAAAAACUACCACAACAAAACGAGCCAAACACACAAGAAGUUCAACCGGGAAUACAAGGAUGAUGAUAGACAAUUACUCCUAUAUAAGUUUCUCCUCAUUAACAACGUUUCUGUUUUUCAUAAUCAUUCUUGAUGAUAGAACAGUCCAGUGGACCGCUGAAACACACUGUUGGCUUUCAUGUUUCUGGUUUCGAGUAUAACUGAGCUUCACAAAACUAACAAAUGGAGUUCAAAAGCCACAUUAUCGUGAUCUUUAGGGCAUAGCUAUUCAUUAACUCGGCAUUUAUAUAUAGCUUUUUACUUUUUGUUACACCUACAAUAUAUACAUUGUACACACCUUUAGCAACUUUCAGUAUAUAUCGCCAGAAGCCAGAACUUUAUGUAAGAUCACGUAUCAUCAGCUAAGAAAUGGCCAAUUAGCAACUCUCCUGGACAAACCAUUCAUUCAUCCUUCUUUCUUUACCACAUAGUUCGAAGCUCAAGAACCUAACAACAAUACAUGAAAAAUCACAUCUUAGCAAUGAAAAUUAAAGGCCACCUUUCCAAUGACAGUAAAAUUUUGUCAAAAUAAAUAACUCCUUCAUACUCAGGAAAAGGUUAAGAUAGGGUGAGGCCAGGAAAUGCUUUGGCAAGAGAUUCAAAACUAAGUUCAACUAACAAAACAAUACUUUUAAUCUAUAUGGCCCAUAAGAACAAAAUGAGGAUAUCCAUCCCAAUUCCAUAGUUACAGAGAAACAAUUUUCUUCUCAAGUAAAUAUAAUAAAAAUGCCAUCUUUUACAUUAAGAGAAUCAAAUUAUUAAUCACAAUGAUGACACGUUGCAGAGAAAAUUUUCAAAAUUUUGAUUCUCAUAACCACCAAAUGCUAAUGGUACAAAAUGAUUCACAUUUGAUAGAGGUACUCAUACCUUGAAGUCAAUAACUCCCCUUUCCCCUUCUUUUCAUGUCUUGUCUGGAUCCAAGCACUGCCCUCCAAAUAGAUGUGUUCCUGAGUGCUUGCAUCUCUUCAGCCUCUAGGAAACAUUAGGAAGCUUUUGCUGGAUCAUCCAUAUCAACCACAUCUUCAUGCCUAAUCAAAACAUGAGACGGAUAAGAAAGGGAUUGCCUAUGACCAUUUGGUUAAACGUUCUAAUAACCUGCACUCGUCCUCCCUGGAAAUGUGUGGAUCAAGCUCAUGAAGGCUGCUUAUGAACUUGAUUGCAUCAUCCCGGCGAUUAAGUUUACAGUAUCCAUCAAUGACUGAGUUGUAUGUAUUCUGGUUCGGUUUACAUCCAUGCUUGAUCAUGUAGCAAACAACAUCAAUAGCCUCCUCAAACAUUGAAUCAGCUGCAUAACUUGCAACAAAAGUAUUAUAUGUGAUUACAUCUGGAAUAAGCCCAGAUUCUCUCAUUUCUGAGAAUAUAUGUGAAGCCUCUUUCAUCCGCCCAUUUCGGCAAUACGCAAAAAUUACGGUGUUGUAUGAAAUUAUAUCUGGUUUUAUUCCCUUUGCAAGGAUUUCUUUUAAAACUUCUUCUGACCUCUCAAAGUUCUCUGAUUGGCUGUGCAUAUACAUCAAACUAUUGUAAGUUGCCAAGCUAGGAGUGAACCCACUCUCUUUCAUGAAGUUCAAGAUCUCAUUUGUUUUGGUUACCAUCUGCCUCCUGCCGUAAAUAGCAAUCAUGGCAUUCAGAGUACUCAAGUCAGGUGAAAAGCCUUUUCUCUUCAACUCCAGGAAUGCACGCUCAGCUUCUAAUAGGAGGUCACAUUUACUAUUAACUAAAACAAGGGUCUUCAAGAGCACAGCAUGAGGUUCAAUUACACCAGAGCAUAUCUCCUCCGCAAGAGCAAGCAUCCGUCCAAUCUCCUUGCCAUUGGCAUAAGCAUGAAGCAAAGAACAGUGUGUCAGUUCAUUGGGCUUGCACAUACCAUCUUGCAUUUCAGCAAGUAUUUUCUCUGACUGUUCCCAUAGCCCUCCUCGAGCUAAUGCUGCCAAAACAGCAUUAUAGGUGGAAAGAUCAGGUGUGAUCCCAGUAUCCAGCAUUCUCUUGUACAUAGCCAUGGCUUGGUCAAAUGAACCACACCGACUGUACGCACUGAUUAGGGUGUUGUAGGUAUCCCUCUCCGGUACAAAGCCAACCCUCUUCAUCUCCUUGAAAACUCCAGACACUUCUGAGUCCAUCCCAUUUUGCCCAAACACUGCUAGAAGGGUAUUCCAAGUAACAAUAUCAGGUACACAGCAGCAAAUUUUGAUCUCCUCAAAAACCUUCAUCAUUUCUGCAAACUUUCCCCUGUUACCAUGCAUCUUAAUCAAGGCAUUGAAAGUACAAAUAUUAGGUUUGCAACCUGCAGUUCUCAUUUCCUCAAAAACCCUCAUUGCAGACUCAUCCUUACCAGUCCUCACAAAUCCUGACAACAUUGCAGUGUAAGUAAAAACAUCCAGUUUAAUCCCUCUUUCAACCAUCUGGUUUUUAAGCUCCAUUGCUUCUUCCAACAGACCAUCCCUUGCAUAAGCAGAUAUCAACGAAUUAUAUGUCACAAUGCUUGGUGAACAUCCAUUGACCUCCAUUUCUCUUAAUACCUCGAUCGCCUCCUUAAUCCGCCUAGACUUCCCAUAAACAUCCAAUAAAGUAUUAUAAGUGACCUUAUCAGGCACAAACCCCAUCGAUUUCAUAUCCUCAAAAACCGCAGCAGCUUCUUCAUACAAAGAUCCUCGUCUACAACAGGUUAUCAGCGUAUUAUAUGUAUACUCAUCCGGCAAAAUCCCAGCAUUCUUCAUUCCCUCAAACAGACCUGUAAUCUUGUUCCAAGGCAUACCCAUUUUUCCAUACACAUUCAGAAUCACAUUAUAAGUAAUCAAAGUUGGUUUGCACCCUUCUUCCUCCAUCUUCUUAAAAACCAUCACAGCUUCCCUAUACCUCCCAUUACUAACACAAGCAGUUAUUAAAGAUGUAUACGCAUAAACAUCAGGUUCAAACCCAUCUUUAUGCAAAUUAUUCAACAAAGAUGCUGCCACCGAAACUUUUCCUUCUUUACCAAGCAUAUUAAUAAUCACAGCCACAGCUGAAUUACUCAAGACAGAUUCAUAACCAUUCCUAUUCUUAAACCACUCAAACACACUCAUAGCCAGGUCACUUUUUUUAUAAAACCCUAAACCCUUAAUAAUACCCAAAACAUCAUUACUUAACCUCUCCUUACCACCACUACAUACACUCAACUCUUCUUUAUAGUAAUCAAAUAAAAGACUCAAGAUUUUAUCUAAUUCACUGGUUUCGAAAGAAGGGUCAUUUAAAGAAUCUAGAACUCGCUGACCUUGAAGGGAGAGACGACGGUGGGUCCAGGGUUUGCCACGGUUAGGGUCACAGGCCUUGCCAAUUCGGGUUCGGUUUCUUGGGAUAGGAAAUAGAUCAGGUUGGGUUUGCGGGUUGAUGGGUUUGGAAAGAUUGGGGCUUUGCUUGAAAAGGAAGUCCUGCAUAGGUGGGGUGCCAUGUUGUGGUGGUGGUGAAGUGGGUGUUGUUAGUUUUAGCUGUUGUUGAUGGAGGUGAGAUUGGAGAGGCAGUAAGAGUUUUGUUGGAGGUGGGUUUGUGAGGAGAAGAGGGAGAGCUAGUUUCUCUGUCAUUUUUUAGAGUGAGAGGUUUUAGGAGGGCUUUGGGCGGGUUUAAGGAUUAUAAGUUGGUUUCUUUAGUUGAGUUUGUGUGGUGUUUUGACUUAAGAAAGGAGAGAUUUUUCUGUGUGGUGUUUCAAGUUGAGAUUCUUAGAGAGGGGAUGUUUGAGAGGGGAGGAGGGUUUCAAUCCUACGUGGUGAGUGAGUAGUGGAGAUUGCCAUGGUAGCAGACAAGAAUCUCUGGCGAACAGAUAGAGCUUGCCAUGUCAGCAAAAGGUGACUCUCUGCUUCGGAGGAGAGAAGAAAUUGACAAACUAGAACUAAACAUUAUGAUUGAAAUUUUUCUAAGGAGUUGAAAGAGGAAUUGUUGCGGAUUAAAAAAAUAUGAGUUUGUUUAAGAUUGAUUUGAUGAAUUUUUUCAUGUAAAAUAAAUAAAUAAAUAAAUUUAUAUAAAUAAAAAUAUAUUAUUUUAAUUUAAACAAAAUUAAUAUUUAAAAUACAAUUAUAUAUAGAAUCCAUAUAAAAAACAAAAAUUAUUUGAGUAACUAAAUUAAAGCUACCAUAACAUCAAACUCUCUACGGGAAUUUCGAGUUAAAAAGUCUCUCUCCAAUCUUGCGGAGUUCAAAAGCUAAUGCCGUACAUGUGGUGAUAUGGAAUUAGCUGAUCUAAUUUGUGUUUCCCGUUGCAGGAAUGACUGUGUAAAGAUUCCAUAGAAAAUUAGGAGACCCAGAAGCGAGGAUUAGAUUAGAACUGUGUUCCACUCUUUCUUGUUUCUGCAACCAAAUAUUCUUCAAUAAAGUUCCCUUUUCUGCAAUUACUAGUUUUUGCCCUCACGCACUCCCAUUCUUGGGGAGUUCUGUGCAAGAACUCGUUAUGAGUCCAACUCCAGAGACGCUCAAUUGCCAACAAUCAUUUCAACAACUCUAUUUCGUAAUUAAGGUAGGUAAGUGCAGGCAAGGGGCGGCUUAAUACGACUGCUGCCAUGAUCAUUUGAGAUAAGUUUUUCAGUUAGAUCAAAACUAUCUAAAAUCAUACCAAGAGCCUGUUUUAUGCAGCAUGUACCCAAUAUGAAAAUAUUGCCAGAACCACAACUACAUACAAGAUUCAAUCAAAAUUUGAGAUUCAUCAACAGAAGCAUAAACUGGCAGAAAGUUAUAAUAUCAUCUUGAAAAUCGUACUAUGUAAGGAAUCCAUAAGCAAAAUUCUUAACAAAGCUAGUUCUGCAUGUAAGUACUGCUAAUUAAGACUAAAAACACAAGCCGCCGAAAGCACCAGGCAUAAUUUUGACUAUUAUCGUCAACAAAAAAGAUAGCCCUGCCACGGGAAAGAUGACCACGAAGACUGGAUCCAUAAUCUUGAACUUCAUUUGAGGAAAUGAGGACUAAUCAACCCAGCAAUCUCAAGAAAUCCAACCUGGUCUCUACCAGCAAAUAUCUUCUUCAACUUCUCGUCACAAAUUAUGUUCUUCUUGUUACUAGGGUCCUAAAAAAACGCAGCAAGUCCAGUCAGCUCCAAAUUAAUGAGAUAACCAUAUAUGCGUACACCAUGGAUGUUCUAUGCAAUGGCUCAGAAACAGCUAGAAAAACAAACACCAGAUUCAUGCAAAAAUGACGAACUAGAGGAGCAAUAAUACUGCAGUUCAAGAAAAGAGUUAGCACCAAAUUAGUAAAUACACCACUCAACAAAUAAAGGGAAGUGACCGCACCAGCAGAUGGACUAACAAAUGUUCUAAAGGGUGAAGUAAAACGGUAAUUAAGUGAACAUUGUAUCCAUUACUCAAACACCAAUCAUGCUUUUUGUUUCAACCAAAUUAUUCAGCUGGAAGCUAACCCUAAUAGUGAAGGACGAUAGCUGCUUGGAAAUGACAAGCCAACAGCCAGUCUUCGUGUUGAACCUCGCAAUUUUGUAAGCGCUGCCUCGCAUUUUCAGGUUAGUAAAAUCCAGUACCUCUAAUUAAGCCACAUUCAUAUAAACAUACUGCAUGUGGUCGUAUCAACAAAGCAGUGCAUACCACAUUCAUGUAUUACAAAUUUGAAAUUAUUCUGAAUUGUUUCUCAAACUUGAACUACCUACAAAAUCAUGUCUCAGCCAAAAUUCUAUAUAAAAUCAUGUCUCAACCAAAAUUCUAGUGAUGAAAUCUAUCCCUAACAUGAGAGACACCUUGUUCAUACAUCAACGAAUUCACAGCAAUAAUGAUCAGGCCAUGCAAGAAUAAAAAACUACAUCGAACAAACAUAUCCAAGUAUAACACCAUUCAAUUAAUUACAUGAGCAGCAAACAAACAAUACCCAAGAACCCACAAUUAUCCAGCAGCCUCAUAACAUUAUCCAAACCCACAAAAGAAGCAACGCGUAAAACAUAUUACAUUUUCAGAACUAAAAUACAAUAACCGCAUAACCCACACUUAAAAAACUCAUAAAAGUAAAAAAAAAAAAUAAUAAUAAUAAUAAUAAUAAUAACAGCACCAGAAGCAGAACUGGAACAUUUCGCUGACACCAGCACAACCUUAUCCACAAACAUGACAUGUCUCCAGCUAAUCAAUUAAAUAAUCAACAGCAUAAAAACCCAUGAAUAAAAAACAACCACAUUUUACCGUUCCAAAACAACCUUAUCCAAACGUUUAACUAAAAACUAAGCACAGGAAAUGACAGGAACCCAAGAUUUUAGAACAAAAUGUAGACUUCUAAUAAAAAUUAUACCUGAAGAUUGUGCUCCUUGAUAUGGGCCCAUAUAAGCUUGAGAGCCUGAGUACGAGAGACCUCAGGAGCACCAAUAAAGUCCGCCAUUUCAGGUGAGACUCGCCUCGGCUUCAUUAUGCCGCGUGGAGCACGGUUUCCGGUCGAUGCCGUGGCGCAGGUAACUACAGUACUACGCACCAUGCGCGGGUUCGCGGGAGGCGCAGCCAGAAACCUGAGAGGAAGAGUGGAUGUAGGAGAAGGAAACUUGAGAAGCGGCACCGUUUCGGUGGAUAGGAAAGUAGAGAAAAUCCCUGAAGAAAUUGCCAUUUGAAAAAAGAAAAAAACUCGAGAAUUUUGUGUUUCUGAGAGAGGGGGAGGGUUUUGAAUUAGCUUGAUUUUUUUUUUUUUCCUUUUAAAUUUUGGUGUUUUGAGAGAAUGCGAAGAGAGAUAAGGGUUUUUUGGGUUUUGUGCGAGUGAGAAACACAGAAUUUGUCUGAUCCCGCCUUAAUCCUGGCGUACUAUUCUUUAACUUUUUCACGAUUUUUUAAAUACUUGAAUGCCCCUGCCUGGGUCAAGCACUAUAAAAAAAACAGAUCGUUCGAUUUUUGUUGGGUCAAGAGUGUCCUGGUGUUUGAGGACAGACAUCCACCAGAAAUUUGGGCAGUUUGAGGAUGGGGAUGGAGGAGUUGGGUUGGGCUAAAGGAGAAAUAGAAAAGGCCAAUAUAUACAAUGGUAGACCUGGGAAUAAGUAGUGGAUCUGGGUUUCAGAAUUAGGUUUUAGCUUUCAUUUCAUUCUCUGACAUGGGCUUUAGGUGACGGAGGUGUGGUUGAGGGUUUUGGCAAAGGAUAGAUGUGCCACCGGCAAAGUCCAUGAUGCAAAUGUUCUAACAUCUGACAUUUCACGACAAGAGACAGAGACAACAACGAUGAUAAGAGUCUCGCGGUCAAAUUAACUACUUACAUAUUUACAUGCACAGAGAUACCGUGUAAAAUUAUCUAAUAUUAACUAGGAUAGGAUAUUGAUAAACUGAUUAGGUUUUAGAUUUAUUAUAUAAAAAUUAUUAGUUUAAGUUUUAUAAAUUUUAUAGUUUGGAGAUUUAUAUAAUUAUUAAUUUUAGAAUUCAUGGAAUUAGUUAAGAUUCGCGCAAACUAAUCCGAAUACUCAUGUUAAUAAAAAAAAAUUACCCAAUAUUCUAUUAUAUUUCUUUCUUUUCCAUAUAAUGAUACUAGUGAAAUUUCAUUACGUAAUAAUUAUUCGUUAACCCUACUUAGACAUGAAGGGGAAAAAGCAUAUAAAAUAAAAGUAUUGAAUUAUUGUUUGGACAGCGUUGUCUGAUAAAAAGAGUAGAAUCUCUUUUUCCCGUAAUAAUUGUCUUGAGAAGUCAAAUUGUGUGGCUUUUUUUUAUUUUGUCCGAGAAUAUAAUUUAUCUUUCCCCAGGGACAAGCUCUGCUAGCUAUCUUGAACUGUUAAUGCCUCAUUCUCUUUGACAGAACAUCCAUCCAAGACCCUCUGCAUGCCUGCUAACCAGCUCUCAAGAAUUGAUAAAAUUAAGCCAAUUGACGAGAAAGGCUCGUUGAUGCCGUCGUCUGGCCUGGAUGUAUCGCGUCGCAUUUUAGCCAAAUUGAUCAAAAUUAAAACACAUGGCACCAAUUAACUUUCUAGCACAAAUACAACAGCUAAAAAAAAGGGUAUUUCUCUCUAAUAAAUGUAUGGUUUUCUUUUCUUUUCUUUUCUUCUCAUAAAAGGGAAAGGCCUGUCCACGACGAAAGUGGAAUAUACUGUUACAACUUUAAUAUAGUGAUGAAGCCAAACCAAAAUGCAGUCCCUCCAUGCAUGAUUAGUGUUGUUAUGGUCCGACUAUUUGCCCUAGCUAGUAAAACCUUUCCCGGCUUGCAGUUGAAACCACGUUAUCAUAAAGGCAGCCUAGGAUUAAUUAAGAGGUAGGAAGGAGGUCAAUUUAACCUCAAGGAAAAGAAACUAAAGGGCCAACAAGAGGAGGAUAGCAAGUUACAAUCAUUCACAUUGCAGGAAAUGAUCGUUAAACUAACUUGCCCCCCCCCCCCACAGUCCACGUUCCCUUUUACUUUACUCUCGUUUACAUGGACUUUGGACCUACCUUUUGUAUGAUUUGUCCUCAUGAACCGUACCUCUUAUAUAUAGUAAUGUUUCAAUUCGAUCGGACCAGGAAAAUCAAGAUUCCAGAGAGUAAUCUUGUUCGAUAAUUAUCGUGUAAAAUGCGAGAGGAAACGUGUAUGUUAACAACUGAAAGGUACUCUAAAAAAAAUGGGGGUGUUGUUGUGGAUUGAAUUAUGGAGGGAGUUGAGAAGGCAAAUCCUUGACAGGCGUUAUAAUGGCACUGUGAUACAUGUGGACAAUGCUAAGAUAAAGGAUUGAAGAAGAAGCCAUUAAUUGUCACAUUGUUUAACAUGGAUUGGAAGGGCUAGGCACUGGCUAUAUAUCAAUUUCAGUUUCUAUGGAAUGCCCAGUCAGUCGGUGCUUUUUUUGCGUUGAGAAUAAUCAACCACCUAAAUUUCUGCUUUCAUCACUGCAUAAGUGGAAGAAUCCUCUCUCUCUCUCUUUUUGCGUGGGAUUUCUUUUUUUCUCUUUAUAUUUCUUUUUGUUUUUUGUCUAAGUGAUGUCUCUAAUUGAUUGAUUUUCACGUAUGGAUCAAUUAUGUCAAGAUUUAAAGAUUCGUGAAAACUUUACUCCUCGCAAUCUAAGUAAUCUUACCUGAUUUUGAACUUUUAAAAACUGGAAAUUAAACAGUGUAAUUAUUAAUCGUUUGACCAGUUCCUCAAUGUCAAAUAUGCAAAUACAAUGAAAUUCUCCGACCAUCAAUCUCCAAACAAAAAAGAAACAUACAACGAAAAGGACUAUAAGCCUAUAAUUAAACGCUUGUUGAGAAAGAUAACUGCAAACCUACAGGGACCUCGGUGAUGGAGAUGGAGAUGGUGAUGGUGAUAGGUCAAUAAAAACAGAACCCUUGAUUAAGCUAUUAGUAAUCAUAAUACUGCAGAGGAGUUUCUUGGGGUCUUAUGAAAACGAACAUCUUAAUUCUUUCAUCUUUAUACCAAAAAAAAGAAGAAGAAAAAGGAAAGAAAAUCUAACGGAGGAUUGGAUUAUAAGCAAAGGUCAUCCAUCUACCAUUUCCUUUCCAAAUUCUAACCAGUCUGGAUGAGACACGUGAACCCAGUUUAAUGAUCCCUCACACUCAACAAGCUUAUUAGGAGUUAGGACCACCCAAAAAAAAAAAAAAAAACAGUAUCUUUUACUGGUAGAACUGGUUGCAGGCUCACGGCAACACAUGUAGCUGGAACUCGUUGGAAAUUUUACUCGUUAUCAUCGUUUUUUUCUGCAUAAUUUUCAUGUCUCCAGGCCUAAUUUUGUAUUUAUUAUUCAAACUCAACGACGAACUGGCAAGGAUUAUUUAGCCUCCAGGCUCCCUAAAGAGCGCCUGUCACGGCGAGACAGCUAGCACAGCAAGGGCCACCACACAAUGGCGGUGCUCCAACAUACCAACUAAAAUUUGGCAGAUUAUAGCCAAAACUUAAGCGUAAAAUAUACAUCUGCCAGUGCCAAUCCAAUGGCAAUGUUAUGAUUAAGGGCCAGCUCAUAUGAGGGCAUGGCCCACUGAUCAUAAUCCUCCUGUUGCUUAUUCGGUAAAAAGGAUCGCUCAUUAUUCUUGACUAGUAGAAUACCUCUCAUUUUCACAGUUGUCGAGUUGGAUUUGAAGAUUAAUUCAAGAAAUGCGAGUCAAUUCAUGUAUUAGUGAAUUAAUAAUAUGAUAUAUUAAAAACAAUCCAACAUAUUGAAUUUAUAUACAUAUAUAUUUUAAUUUCAACAUAAUUCUUAACAUUGAUUUUAACACAAUUCUUAAUUAAUUGAAAAGGGCAAAGAUUUAAAGACUUGAAACUUGACUUAACAAGUAUUAAUUAAAAUAUUUAAAAUAUAAAUCAAACUUAAAAUCUUAAACAUUUAUAUGACAAUCAUAAUUAAAAAAAUGCAAGUUCUUUCACCCAUGCAUAAUAAAAUUUGAUUGUAUGAACAAGACUAGGAAUUCUCGAUGUGCCUGAUUUAUUUAGUUUAUUUUCAUUUAAAAUUGAAGAAAGAUUUAUUUUAUUGAGUUUUUUUUAUUUAAUCUGAACUAUUGAAACCGAUAUUGAGCUCUACAUUCGCUAGUGGUUGACAAAUGCAUGGCCAUUUUUAAGGACAAAAGAAAAUCAUUCCAACAAAAUCAUUAAUAAUCAUGAUUUUUUGAAUCAUGUUAAUGUCCGACGACUCUACCAUUUUCACUCCUCCCACAGAGAGAGGACAACCCCCUAAGCUAACCCAUAUUCAUCAUUAAUACACAACUUAAAGAGUAACUAACAAUUCUUCUUCUUCUUUUUUUUUUAAGGAAAAAAAAGCUGGCUGACUGCUACUAACGUGUCACCCAGAUCUCAUAUCCAAAUCACAUGCAUUGCUGGUCCCACAUCAAACAACAUAAUCGACGCCUCAGAUCUGUUUGGUAGCUCAUUGGCCCCACCAAUACCUCUCGAACUUCCGAACCUUCUUCCUUCUACUCUAUUUAUAAUCCUCCCUUCCUUUCUUUAUUUCCUCACUGAUCAGGACUGCACGCAAAGAGCAGAGAGAGAGAGAGAGUAUCAAAACUAGCAAAAAAUGAUGCUAAAAAAAGCUGUCAUCCUUCUUUCUUUGAUCUGCAUUUCGAUUGCUGGUGUUUCUGGUCAAGCACCAGCAACGUCACCAACAGCAACACCAGCACCACCCACACCAACUUCUUCUCCACCGCCAGCAACCACUCCUCCACCAGUUUCAGCCCCACCUCCUGUUACCCAAUCUCCACCUCCAGCUACCCCUCCUCCAGUUUCAGCCCCACCACCUGCCACCCCUCCUCCCGCAACCCCACCACCAGCAACUCCUCCUCCCGCCACCCCACCACCAGCAACCCCACCACCUGCUACUCCUCCACCAGCAACCCCUCCUCCCGCUGUUCCUCCACCAGCUCCAUUGGCAGCUCCACCAGCUCUUGUUCCAGCUCCAGCUCCCAGCAAGCCUAAGUUGAAGUCUCCAGCUCCAUCUCCCCUGGCAUUGAGUCCUCCAUCUCCAC